GGGGUGUGGGUAGCAGAUGCGCAUAUGUAUUGUCAUGUCUUUGGCGAGCGCCUGGACCAUUGAGCGUGCCGUUUCGUAUCCCCGCGUGCCCACCGGCAGGCUCUCAUCGCCAUUGGUGAGCCGCUGGGCAGCAUGGUCAAUGGCUGCGUGGUCCCGGGUGAGUAGGUCCUCAGGGGUAGUGCGCGUGCUGGUUUCUGCAAUGCGUGCGCGUUGCGCUGCAUGUUUUGUAACGCGCCGUGCGCGUGUAUCUGGUUUUGUCGUGGCCGGCGUGUUUUGGCCGGCUUGCGGGCUGUGGCGCUUGCGGGCUGUGGCUGGGGGCCGUCGGGAGGGCUGCGUUGCCCCAUCGGCGGGGACUUCCGGUGCCGCAGCAGGGCCUUGUGCGCCGGGUUGGGCCUCCUGGGCUUCCCCUACUGGGGAGGGGGGGGGGGGCGGUUCGGCUGGGGCUUGCGUAGUGUUUGCUUGGGCGGGGGCCGCCUCGGGGAGGGGCUGGAGGAACCGCUCGAGGGGGUUGGCCAUUCCAAGAGGGAGGGGGUCCGCCCUCAUGGCUACGGCCACGAUUGCGGCCACGUCAGGCAGAGUGCGCUGUGCGGUGGUUAGGGGGGGGGCAUGGCUGCCGAUGGCUGGAGCGUUUUCCCCUGCACGUCCAGCCAUACUGAGAGCAAGGCUAUCAGGAGCCAUGGGCGCCGAGGUAAACGUGGCGGCAUCAUUGAAGGACAAUCUUCGGGGGGGGGGGGUGCCGUCGAGUGGGCUCCUCGUCCGUGGGACAUGCUUUGCACGCAUGGUGCUGUCGUCGUGCUCAUCAGACGCAUGAGCUGUAAUGCGCAGUCUGUCCCCUAACCACGCAGUGUAGGGGGAGGCUGGCUAGGGGUCGCUGCAUCUUUGUAAGGGGCCGGGGCAUGUCACGUUCGGGCGCGGCACAUUCGUCACUGAUGGCCGGGAAGGGCGAGGUAUGGCGCAGUCUUGUUAUUGGCCUGCGGUUAUCGGCCACAAGCUGCACAUGCCCGCGCUUCGGUGCGCAUUGGGCGCGGCUGGUUUAGGGUGACCCGCCGAAGGAACCGACGAAGGGCGCUGACACGGCAGCUGGCGGGAUGUACUCCGCCGCCGCUGCGGUGUCGUCCACGCCCUGCUUGUGCCUCAUUUACGUGCGCGUGUUCUACGGGGGCUGUGCUGUAACGAGUUACGAUUGCCUCAUAUGGGGCGAUCUGGUGGUGGGGGGGCUCGUCAUUUUAUCGAGGCAGGGCAUUAACCGGGGCUGCUAUAGUUUGAGCACCUGCCGGUGCAUUGCCGCCACUUCAUACGGUUCGAACAACGGCCAAACCGCCCCACGCACACCAGCUUGCAACAGCGCUGUUGCGUUUCGACCUGCUUUCGACCCGCGCCCGCUCCAGCUGCCGCCUUUGCUGCUGCAUCCUGCUGGAGCUCUGCUGUGCGUCUGCUCGAGAUGCAGCAGCCCAGCCGGUGAGACGGGCGCUUGAGCGUUUGCGGGGGGUGGCGCUUUGUUUCGGCGGCAGCUUCCCGGGACAGUUGCGACUCCUGGCGCGUUUGCUGCUGCACGGUGGUUGUGCUGCUGCUUGUGAUGGCUGGCCCUACUUGUGUAAGAGCGGUGCUGCGUCGGGGCGCUGACUCGACUUCGCACUUUUCCCGCCCCUUUCCUGCUGCGAGGACCGGCAGGCGUUGACCUUGGGCCGGCUGAGGUCAAGAUGACCUCCGCCGACGCGUACCACAUGCUAGCGUUGAUGAGCGUGCUGGCGGCCACCGGAAAAGCCGCGGCCAAAAUCCAUGAGGUCAUUAAGACCGUCGGCAAUGAGCUAGGCACUUGCAUUGGGGUGUGUGUGUGUGCGGGGGAGGGGGGGGGCAAGGGGGGGUGCGGUCACAGGGUGCGUGGGGUUGCAAAGAACCUAAAGAGAGGCAGCUUCGCCGACUCAGAUCACCAAAAUGCCUCUCUGCAGCUUCCCUGCACCCUCACCCACCCUGUGACCCACUGCCUUCGCACCCCCCCUAACCCACCCACCCACCCACCCGCCACUGAUGCCAGUGCCUAGCUCCUUGCCGACGGUCUUGAUGAUCUCAUGGAUUUUGGCCGCGGCUUUUCCGGCGGCCGCCAGCACGCUCAUCAACGCAAUCAUGUGGUACGCGUCGGCGGAGGUCAUCUUGACCUCAGCCGGCCCAAGGUCAACGCCCGGUGCCAGCAUGGUACCGGCACCUGCAUGACGCCGCCAAACAGAUUGCGCUGCAGUGCGACGGCAUGUUGGGGAGUUGGGGAGGCGGCGUCGUGGGGAGUUGGGACUGGGGAGCACCGUGGCUAAUAGCGGGGCUCAAGGGCUGGAGCAAGGGGGCGCAUCAUCAAGUGCAUUUUCUUGUAAUUGGGAUGCCCCCCCCCCCUGCUCGAGCUCAAUGCGACCGCAAGGGCUUCUGCCCCUCCUCCUUCGGUAGAAGGAGCAAGCCAACGCGCCAGGAGUCACAACUGUGGGAAGCUGCCACCAAAAGUGCCACCCCCGCAAACUCUCAAGCGCCCAUCUCAUCUGUGCAUGCUGGCAGCCGCCGGUGGCAACAAUCCAGGAAUUCAUCAAGACUGCAGCAAGGAGCUAGCACUGGCGUGAGUUGGGCGGGAGGGUUGGGUUAGGGGGUGGAUGCGGAGCCGGUGGGUCACAGGUGGGCGGUGGGCGGGUGGGGGUGCAGGGAAGCUGAAGAGAGGCAUUUGGUGAUGUGGAUCGUCGACCUGGAAGCUGUGUGGGUGCAGUGGGUGGGGCUGUAUCCAGAGGCUGCGUGCUGCAGGCAGCCUACACAUCCCCCAGCCUGCACAUCCCCCAGAUGCAUCCCCCAUAUGCAUCGCUUUACAGACACCUGCGCGCCGGCCCAGCACGCGUGUACCCUCCCUGUUGCUGCGCCCCUCAGGGUCAAGGGGUGGUCUUCACCGUGGUGGCGCGGCGCCUGGAGGGCCGGUCUUCCGUCAUGGUGGUGCCGCCUCCGAACUCGCGGCCGCCGGCUGCUAAGAAUAAGGCAACGGCAACAAUGGAGCGGCUGCUGAAUAAUGAUGACAUAUCGUGGCAGCCCAACUCAAGUACUCCUUCGUGGAUUUCCGUGACCUGCACUACGGCAUCAUCGGGAUGCUCCUGGUGCGUGCGUGCCUGCAUGCGCGUUUCGUGCGUGUGUGGGUGUGUUGUAUGUAUGCGUACUUGCUUGCGUGCGCGUGCGCAUGCGCUUGUGCGUGUGCGUGUGCGUGUGCGUGCGCGUGCGCGUGCGCGUGCGCUUGUGCUUGUGCGUGUGCGUGUGCGCGCGUGUGUGCUUUGACUGUUAAGGAGGCGGCUCCAGAAUGCCGACAUCGAGGUUCAUUGUCAGGGGCGCCAGAACCAGCAGAAGCUCCUCAAGCAUCCGUAUGCCAGCGCACGUGCAUGUGCGUGCCUGCUGCUCCAAAGUGCCAUUGCUUUGCUGUCGGUGCAGGCACUCCUCAGAGAGGAAUCCCCCGUGCUGCCCCCUGAAUCCCCCGCCCUUACCACAGGACCUCGUCCUGCGCAAUGUCCUGCUGCACGCAACUUGUGCGCACGGGAUCAUUAUUACCGUAAGUGGCUGCUGUGACCUGCACAUGUGCAAUAUGUUUGUUGCAAGUAUGCGUCUGCAUGCAUGCAGGUUCACCUGCUUCCAGUAUAUGUAGCUCAGCCUAUCCAACCCCCUCCCUCGGGCCCGCGACGUGCCGUUGUACAUUCUAUUCAAGACAGCCCUUGGGCACAACUGACUGCACAUGCAUUUGUCUCCACGCAGGACGGCCGCACGCCGCUGCCGCUGCUGCCAUCCAGUGGCUAUGUGUGCACCCAGCAGGGCGUUUAAAAUGGUGGAUGACAACCGCGCGCACGGAUGGGGGACGUGCCAAGCUCGCCGCGAUCGCCGUCGGUCUGCGCGACUUCAUGGCGGAACGGGUCAAGGACUCCACCACUCAAUCGCUGCAAACGGAGCUGGACAUGGGCACAUGGCGGUGGCCGACCUGCUGCGAGGAUGCUGGUCGUGAGCGCCGCCGUUCGGUAGGUCGGGCUUGCGUGGCAGCUAUGCCUCGCUCCUAGUGUGGCUAGCGGUGGUGUUGCGUUACGACGGGUCUCCGAUGGUCUCCAAUGGCCCGGGAGGAAGGUGUGCAGUGCGUAUGUUCUGUGUUCCUCUGCCGGCUGAUACCGUACCGUGCUCCCCACCCCUGCACUGAACGCGCUAUGCCCGACGCUCUGCGUACUCCACGUCCAUCCCAUUGCAGGGCCAGGCGGCGGCUGGCGCUGCGACGAGUGAAGGCGGCGGCGGGUGGUGCGUGGCGGCGGGGCCGGGGGCCACAGGGAGGCAUGCGCCGUGCUGCGUGGGGAGCGGCUGUGGUUCGUGUGUUGGGUAUGUUGGGUGUUUGAGGUUGCGCGACACGGGGGCGCCUGUGGUGACAUGGUGAUGUACUUGCGGCAGUGGAUCAGACCUUGAGUGCACGUGCGCCGGUGCGGUAUGGUGGAGCUGAACACCUGGGUGCAUGUGCGUAUGGCACAUACAGUAGGCGCCGUGCGUCCCUGGCGCUGGCUCUUUGCGCUUAGGAGUUAGGGUGUGAGUGGGGAUCAGACGCACGGAUUGCCGUGUUGCAGAAGCUCUGUGAUGUACGGUAAUGGAUGGAUGAUGAUUUGGCACCACGGCGUUUUUGAGUGCACUCCGUGGUGUGACGGUGUCGCGGAGAAGCGUCGGUAGAUGAUGAGCUGCAAGGAUGGUGAUGAGCCCUGGACGAUGACGGCGUCCCACCCUGUGCAAGUGCGACGGGCGACGCUGAAGGUUGCGCGUUCUGGUGCGCGGCACGGCUGGUUCUCCGGCUCUCGCCCGGUCCAGACUGCUAGCUGUUACGUUUUGGUACACCUAGUACACCCUGGAUACACCUCGCCUACCCGCCGGGGAGGGCCUCGUGAUUCCGGACUGCGCAACCAUGGCGUAAAGCGCGGCCAGCGCGACCCUGCUCCGGCCAGACUGACACGAAACACGUCGAAAUUCCUGGCACGCCAUAGAGACAGCACCCAGCUUCUGAGCUUCCGCAACCAAACGCCCAUCCGGCUGUGGCGUCUUUGCACGCGCACUGCUGUUGCCCUUUCGCCCACCUGUCGUACUUGCGCAUCCUCCCCGCCUGCUUGCUUGCCUGCCGCCUUGCUGCUUGCUCACUUGUCGCCCGGCCCUUUGCAUUGACGCGAGCUGUCCGCACAUCAGCUCUGCUCCUCGACGUCCGCGGCUCACCCGUGGACGUGGCUGGACUGCAUCGCGUUGCUUCCUCGUCCCGCACAAGCGUUGGUGGCAGCAGUGGUGGUGGUGGUGGCGGUGGCGGCUGUAUCAAUGGCUGUACCCGGCCGUGUACGGCGCUGUCGAUCUUGAGCUGCUGCGCCUGGGCGACUGUGGCGGCCGCGCGCGUUUGGAUGCCGUGCGGGACAUGGGAUGGGUGCGGGCGGCGGCACCUCCUGUCUUUCCGCAAGACGGCAGUGCUUCCGCGGUAACUCAGAUGGGACCCGCAACUUCUUUGCUUGUCUGCUAUGGCUUUGGACGAUAUGCCGGUGGCGCGGAUGUGCACACAAAGGUGGAAGGUCAGGCCGUUGCCGCCGCCGCCGGCACUUUUGCCCCGCUGUCGCCAGUGUAGUUGGAAAACUGUAACAACGGUAGCACUGUGGAUUGCGGUUUGUUGCAGCCAAUGCAUGUUGGGCCUCCCCCGUGCAUGCGUGCCACCAGGAGACGUGCUGGGCGGGAGGCCCCGGUCCGAUUCUGGUGAACGGGUGACAAGAAAAGGUGGCUCUCCCUUGCAAGGGAAAAGUGGGCUGAGCCCACGCCACGUCCUCCGUCUGAGGCCGAAGGCUCCGAUACGAGCCUCAUCUCCCGGACAUAGCCGGGGUCGGUUUGUACAGGCACCGCCCGCCAUAUGUGUCCAGUCGCGCCCAGCUAUCAAGCACUAGUGCAGCAGGCAGCAGGCCAACCAAGGAAAACACCCCUGCCGCUGCAGCCGACUGCCCGCUACGCCAUGCUCGUCAGCACAGGUCGCUAACCAGACAACACCGGCAGGUCUCAACCUGCGCGCCUGCGCCGCUUUGAAGGCGGCGCCGCGCUGUCCUCCUCCACGUGGCCUUGCCCGCCCCCUCUGCUCCGAACAUGCGCGCCGCCACUGCCGCUGGGCCCAGGGCCGCCCGUGCCGCCGCCACCACCGGGCCCAACGCCGCCGUGGCCGCUGCUGUUGCCGCCGGUAGGCGCGGUGCCACCGCCGCCGCCACCGCCGUCUCCAGGCCCUGCACCGCCGCCACCGCCGCCGCCAGGCCCUGCACCGCCACCGCCGCCAGCAGGUCGCAGGGCUGCAGGCCGCGGUUUGCCAAGCAGCAUCUCCAUCAGCGCGUGCCGCAUGUUUGUAGCCGAGUUGGCGUCACGGCCCUGCAGUUCAACAUGCAAACAGGGCGUGUGUCAUCCCGUGUGUCACCCCGUGUCAUCUCCAAACCGCCCUGUGUCAUCCCGUGUCAUCCCGUGUCAUCAUCUCCAAACCGACCUGCCGCCCCAAACCUGCCAACCCACUUACCCACACAGUCCCGCAGUGUUGGCACACUUGGACGUCGCCGGCACGCGAGCCACCAAACGGAAUGAACGGGUGAAAAAAACAACCAAAACAAGGAACAGCGUGUCGUGCCGUGCGGAAUGCAGGGUCUGCAUUGGCUACUGCCAUACCGUUGCUCCAACGUCACAGCCGCCGCAUGUUGUGCUCCGGUACGGUACCUCCUGCCCCGCCUGUCAUUCCAUGCCGUCACGCCGUGGCCACGGCUUUCAACACAGCGCCCCAACCUCACGUGCAGCACGUCACCGGCAUUACCGCUCCUGCACGCACAACGCCGUCGCUGACGCCGGGGGCCUUGCCCCGUUCUUGGUGGCAGUGUGUGUGGUGGUGGUGAUGGUGAUGAGGGUGUGGCGCACCCUGCUACAGUUAAAUGCGCGUACCGUAGCUUGCGGCAGCAUCCAGCCGUCGCUGCCGCCAGGGGUCAUGCCACGUUGCGACGUUGUGGUCUGGUCUUGGUGGUGCUGGUGAUGGCAGUGAUGGCGUUAAUGAUGGGGUGUGUGGCGUGCCAAUGCGGCAAAGAAGCAGAAACGUGCGUGGGCUGCCGAUAGUGCCGAAUGCGCGGAGAUGGGCCACGGCCAGCGCCACUGGUGGGCAGCAAGUGCGGGCUUAGACGGAUGAAGGGGAAGACACGAGGGCGGGCAGGGGAAGCAAUGAUCGAUUGCCUUUGUCUUGCCUUUCAGUCUUAGCCACUUUGAACCUCGUUCUACAGCACUAUGUCGGCCUGUUGCCCAAUGCCUCACGCCCGCAUCCGAUGCUUUGGGCGCGCCAACAGGCACGGGUGAACCUGUCGGCGUGAACCUGUCGGCGUCUUGCACCCUCCGCACCUAGCCCUCUUCCGCCGCCCUAGAGCCGCAAUCCCAAGCGUCUCUCCCCGCCCGCUGCUGCGGUGCUGCGCAGCCCUUGGCGCGCCCUGGCCUGGCCCGCUGCCGUGGCGCCCUCCGCUGCCCCCGUGCCUUGGCACCCUCACCUGGUCCACAUCGCAACAGCCCCGGCUCCACGUGGACGAGCGGGGCCAGGACCGGACGAGCCGCCAAGCAGCAGUGCCAAUGUCACCGGGGCCUGUGUCCAUGCAGUCCCAGGUUGCAGCUGAUGUAGCUGCUGUCAGGCCUACUCGGGCAUGCGCCGCGCACGCACGGUCCUCACGGCGCGGAGAACACGGAGAACACGGCUGCACAGGAGAACCUACCAAGAGUUGCAGUCCUCAGGCAAUCCUCAGGUACCAAAACCAAGCCCGAACCUGCAAUCACUUGGGCCUGAUGCUCCCGGUUGCAGCUGAUCCAGCUGAGGCUUGCGGGGCGUGCACAACGCAUCGCCGCCAACCUGUGGUGGCAUACAGAGGCGGGAGGCCCUCAGACCCGACCAGGCUCUGCCGUGCUCUCUGGCUUAUGAGUGCUUGCAAUUUGUUCUUAGCGGGAAAGGGAUACGCGCUAGCUGCCUCCUCCAGGGUUUGCCAAAAGUUUGCGCGUGUGAAAAGCAAGACGCCUGUAACGCGUAAUCCUAUUCGUUGGAGCAAAUGGAUCUUAUACAUAAAGAAGUUGCAGGUGUGAAUCGCAGGCCGAGGGGCUUCAUACUAAUGCCGACCGGGGCCCCAUCAUGCAAGUUGUACACCUGGAUGCCCUUUUGCCCAGUCCCGCACAAUUCUAAGGUGUUUCUCGCUCUGAGCUUUUACCUUAGUACUUUAGGGGGGCCUUCCGACUUGGGCACGUGCUAACUAACAUAGGAGCAUCCCUUGACUUGUUGAUCAUUAUGGGAGGACCUGAUUUUGACGUAGUUCGUGUCACGCAGUGGCGGUGCUCCUGUCCGCGUGGCGUAAUGGCGUUGCGGGCUUGCGGAGUUGCGGGCUUGCGGCCGUGGCCGUGGUCCUGGCGUGGAUUCCACUGGAUUCCACUGGAUCGAGACCCGGUGCAAGGCGUGCAUUCUUUUCUAUUUUGAAUUAUCGCGUCGUGUGUGUAUGUGUGUGUCAGGGCAUGUGAACACACCCCGACUGUGAACACACAAGCAGCUAGCUGUUCACGCGGUCGAGAUGCCUCCAGGCGCCGUGUCAAUUGCUGGCGCUACAUGCAAGUGCUGUUUACUUAGGACAUGUUUAUUCCCAGCAACCCAACACAGGGCAUGCCCCGCCAAUUUAUUAGCGUACGACGGGGGAUGAGCCCCGCGUCUCAAAAUUGUAAAGCCAACUUGGCUCAGACUGCUUAUAGCAUACUUUUAUCCGCGUUAGCUGCCUUCGCGCCCACGCCGAGUACAGUCCCGCAGCGAGAGAUGUGCCUGCAGCCUUAUUUGCAACAUAUUGCCCCGCAAACUGUCUACAGUACUCGCUCGCUACGUUCAAUACCGCGUAGGCCAUAAUAGCGCCAAAGCGAGCCUGCGGGCCGCAAACUCUGAGCCGACUCUGCGCCGAUUCUACCGAACCAGCUGAGCUGAGCCUCGGAUAGCCUGAUGGGUGACCUGGACCGCAACUACCGCUAUAGUUAUGAUGAAACCGAUGUCAGCAUGUUGGGGGAGGAGGGCAACGCGAGCGAUGCGAUGAGCUGGGAUGGGCCCGAUGGCGCUGCGGGAGCUGGCCACGGUGAUGCCGACAGCGUCGUGCUUAGGGGUGACGCCGAAGCAGAUGUUACGGAUGGCUACGCCGAUCUGCGCGUGGAUUCCUGCCACGAGGAGGCAGCGGACCCAGACUCGUCCGCUGUGCUUGCGGUGCGCAAUUCAAAACGUGACCUGCGUGUGCAGCAAGCAAUUGUGUACUGUAAAUUUAGCGAGGUGGCUGGGUGCGGGCACGACGGGCGUUGGGGUAAACAACUUGCCGCUGCAUAUGUGGUGCUUGUGCCUGGGAGUCGUACAUCAAUAUGCCCACACUGCAAACCGCCGUGCCGACGCAGGAAGUCCCGAAAGUUGACUGCCAGUGCACAAUUUUGACAGCAGCAGCGCCAGGCACCCGCGUCACCCGUGCUGAGGUGGGUACGCUUCGAGGUAGACAGGAUGCCGUUGAUUUGCAGCCUCCCGUGUAGGAACCUUGUCGUGCGAGGAAUGCUGGAGGGGGGUCAUAUCUGGCAUUUGCCGCGUCGUGCGUGAUUAAGACUUGGCCAUACGCGUGCCAUACGUGAUGCAGGAUGUGCUCACCGGGUACUUGUCCAAGUGCGGCGCCACAGCUCAAGGUGGUGAGCGUGCGCAAUCAAUAGCUGUUCGCAACGUCUUGAGCCUCGGGCACCACUUCAAAUGAGCAGGGGCAAGGGCUACAGUGCAGCGCGCGUAGGCGUGCAUCACCAGCUAGCGUGAUCCUCUGUUGCUCUUUUAGAGACUGCGAUUUGGGUUUCCACCUGAGGUCCUGACGCUACCCGCUUUCCUGUUGUCGUCCUGUUCCUACCUGCAGGCGAAGGCAACGGCGCCACAGGCCGUGAUGUGUUCCCUGGGCCGCACCCUGGCAGGACCGCCACACAGCCACCGCCUGCUGCAGCUGGUGGCACGGUGAGCUGCGUAAUGCUGUUGCGGGGGCUUGCUCCAUCCAUUGAAUGUACGGGCCGUGCAGGGCAAACGCCCAAGAGGUGGGCAGGGCCGGCGGCAGGGACGUACCGUGUUGCUUGAAUGCUGGCAGCUGAUGGCAUGACUAAGGUUGGGGGUACUGCGCACAACCGCAACCGUACCACACACUGCUGCGAUGCCGUUUGAUAAGUGUGUAACUCCCGCCACCCCUCGUCCCUUCACUGCUUCCGCAGGACGCCACGGAUGCAGGGAGCUCGGGCGGCCCGUCUGCCGCUGCGUCAUGGGAGCGGCUGGGGGCCCGGCGGAGCGCGCUGGCAGCCGCGGAGCACAGCGAGGCGGGCAUCGCGGCAGUGGCACCCGCGACCGCCGACAUGCUGGAUACGGAGGAGGGCGCGCAGGUCCAGCGCGGCGCGGCAACGCCGGCCAGUGGCGCAGUGAGUUCUGCAGGCGUGCAGGGUUGGGGAGCAGGCUGUGUGGCUGUAUCCUGCGAGUCUGCCUGCACAUGUGAAGGCGAGGCCGACUUGAGCGGGGCUGGUAAAGGCCAUAACGGGCAGGAGCAUCAGCGAGGGUGGGGAGGUAGCGGUGUCGGCGGCAUCCUGCAUGGGGUCAGCUGAUGACCCAGUUUCAUACUGCAUGCCGGCGCGGCAUCCUGAUCGCAUUGUCCGGCUUGGCGCUACAGGAAUUGCCGCGGCAGGAGGGCGGCGAGGACGGCGUGGCCGCUGAGGAGGGGCUGUGGCCCACCACGGCGUAUGAGGAGUGGUUGCGCGCCCGGCUGCGUUAUGCGCUGUGGCGCAGCCAUGUGGCAUGCUGCUCUAUGCUGCACGGCAUGCCGGGGGGCCCGGCAGCGGAGGAAGGGGAGGCGGCGAAGGCGGCGGAGGCACCCGCCGCCGCCGCCAUGCUGCUGGACGCAGAGGAGGGCGAGGAGGGGCGGCAAGCCAUGGCACCGCCGGCCAGUGGCGCAGUGAGUACCGCGAGCAAGGGUUGGGCAGAGGGCUGCAUGGCUGUGUCCUGAGAGUCUGCCGCGAGGCCCCUGAAGGACAAGGGGCGGACGGCUUGGCUGCGUGUGGAAAAGCAUGUUCGGUUUGGCUGGCGCGAGCAUGAAGAUACCAUGUGCAUGGGCCCAAACUUUCUUGCUUCCUUAUGCGCCGGAUCGGCGCUACACGCCCGCACCGAUGUCAGCUGGCGCAUGCCGCUGGGCUUUUUCAUCUAUGCCACUCGUCGCCAAUUCAUAGCGGCCCCAGCAGUCGGUAACUAUCCGCCCUUGACGAUGCCCUUGCACCCUCUCCCGCCCUCUUUAUGUUCUUCGUGUCACGACCAGGCGGCAAGCGGUGGCGGCGGCGGAGAGCUCCUCUUUGAUGACCUGCGGGCGGCGCUUGCAUCGGUGUCGUCCUCCUUGGGGCGGGGCUCGGCGCCAUUCGCGGCGUGCGCCUGUGACCCCGGCCAGCAUGGCGAGGCCCGGCCGUCAUCAGACCCUGUGCGCACGCCGCAGCCGCCACAGCCUGCAGCCGCGCUGGAACUGCUGUCCCCGGUCACCUGCUGCAGCGGCUCAUCCGCAGAUCUUGCAGCGGUGCAGCGGCAAGGUGCGGCGUGUGCUGCGGCUGCUUCGGCAGCAGCGCCAAGCCCACGCCCACUGCCGUCAGUGGCGGCGGAGGUCCAGACGCAGCAUCCGGCGGCAGCAGCAGACAACGAGCCGGCUGACGGCACCACGCCGCAGCGCUCGGCUAAAGAGGUGACGCCCCAGCAGCCGAACGCGCAGCAGAGAGGAGUCGCGCCGGUGCGGCUGCUGCCUCGGGUGGACCGGCUGCCCCGUAUCGCCAUGACGCCGGUAGGCGCGCGCAUGCAUGGGCGGGAUGGACAGCGGGCCGAUGACACGCAUGCAUGGGCACGCCGCCUAUGCUAUCUUUGGGCUUGCGUGAAGCAUGGGGCGCAUGGGGGUGCUGCUGUUGUUGCUGCAUCGUCCUUCGCACUCCCUAUGGCAAAUCGAACCUGUCCUUAUCUAUGGCGUUCUCUUACGCAUGUUAUAGAAUGCAAAGCUGUGGCAGCACAACGCGCGGUAUAACACAGCCGCCAAGGCUGUGGUGGACAUCGUGCUGGGCGUGGUGGCGACAGCAGAGGAGCAGCAGGGCUCGGACCUGGGCCCUUGCUUCUACCUGACGGCCACCGCCGUCCUGCUGCUGAGCCUGGUGCUAUUGCACGGCCUCGAAGAUCCAUCCACGCAGCCCUGGCUUAAACGGGGCACCCAGAAUAUGGAGGAACUGGUGGCGCAGCUGGAGAGGUGGGCGUCCUUCAAGGACCUCAACCUCGACACGUGCAUCCGGUACCUGUGGGCAGGCGCGCCAGACUGGCCCAAGGUGGCGCAGACCCUGGCCGCGGUCAGGGAAGGCCUCACCCUCAACCACAUUUGUAAGGUGUGUUCGGCCAUCGGAAUGACGUGGCGCGCGCUCGUGUCGUGGAAGCAAUUGCCGGCCCGCAUUCUGACCCGCUAAACGUGCCCUGUCCUGUGUGUGCAUUUACACAGGGCAGCUACAACGCAGUUUUUUGGGUGGUGGGCAGGGGUGACUUGCUCACGAGACAGCCGCUGCAUAAUAUCGAUUCGGACCUGCUGGCGGCCGUCUACAACCAAGGGCCAGCGCUGCUCCGCCACCUGCGUGCGGCCUGCGCGAUUCACCGCGACAGUAAGCAGCCCAUCGGUGUGCGCGUCAUGGGCCUGCUGCCGGUGGUCAACAGGCGCGUCCCGGACCUCACCACCGGCGAGGCGCUGCGGAGCCUGUGCGCAGCGAAGGGUAAAGUGGCGAUUGCCAUGGUGUUGGAGCGACUGACGACCGUGGAGGAGGUCGCGAAGGCGCUGGCAGCGUACACCGUGGCCCGUGGCCCGUGGCAGGUGAUUGGGCGGGUUGCACGCGCUUCAUUCAUGCCCGGUGCCAGCAAGCGUUUAGCCCGCAGCUUGCGCACAGGGCAGCUUGUGCAGCGUCUUCGUUCCAUUGCCAUACAUCGAUGGCAAACCGUAUGAUCCCUCGUGCACCGCGUGCAGGAGGGUGUGUGGCCGCUGGGCUUGGGGCUGGCGCUGACGAGAGGCGUGCUGAGCGCGACGGGUCAUUUGAUCAAGCUGGGGCUGCACCACGGCGAUAUCAAGGUUAACAACGUGGGGUUCACCGACCUCAAGCAGCAGCCGUUCCGCGACGCGACGUUUCUAGACAACGACGACCUGAGCCAGGACCCAAAUGGGCGUGUGCACAGGUACCACACCUCUCGGUUCACGGCCCUGGGGGCGCAGCAGUGUAUAAACAGCGGCAACAUGUGGUGCCGCCCGAGCUUGCGGCUACAGGGCAUGGACCUGCACCAGGUAGAUGUGUCUGUUGUGUCGGUCCGACGCACGCAUGGACACUAAGCACUGCUUGCUUGGCCGUAAGUGCUUGCAAGCUGGCGCAUUCGCCUGGCUUGGCUGACUAGCUAUGGCCCCGGCUCUCUCCUGCGCAGGUGCAAGGCUUUCAGGCCACGCUGAUAGUGCUGCUGCUGCCGGAGGCGGUGCUUUACCAUGCCAACGACGGCUGCGUCAAUUUCUUUAGUUUUGUCCCGGCGCUGUGGAACACCGGCCACGGCGGCCUAGGCGUGCUGUAUCCCAGCCAGCUGAUGUCCGCCGUGCUGGCGGGUGUGCUGGGGACUCUAAUGCACCCGCUUGCCGACAAGCGCAAGGGCCUGCCGGAGCUCAUGCCGCGCGUCCACAGCCUGUGCAGCGCCAUGGACGAGUGCGAUUUCUGCCUUCGCGGGCUCACUGACGCCGGCGGGUGCCUGCGCGUGCCGGUGCGUGGUGCCCAACCGAUGUGUUAGUUAAGGUUGGAUUCGCAUGCCGUGAUCCUGCCGCUCGGGCAUGGGUGAAACCCUACGUGGUUGUGCUGCUGCUGUCUUUCAUUGUGGCCACACAUGCACAUCGGUGGCCCCUGGUUGCAGAUCGGCGCCGGGCCGCUGGCCCACCUGUGCAGCCCGCCACAGACCGACGUGCUGCUGCGCCAGCUGCUCUCGGCGCUGGAGGAGUGGCGCGAGGACCCGUUCAUGGCGGCCAACCUGUUCCAGGUGAUUACGCUGCUGCACAAGGCGGCCCACUGCACCUGGCCCGCCGGCCCCGUCAACGACUUCAUGCAGCGGGUGCUGCUGCUGGCGGUGCUGUGCGACAUUGUGCGCGUGGAACGCCAGGCGGAGGCUGGGCUAGAGCGACCGGAGCUGCUGCUGCUGUACAAGGUGCGCGCUGCUGUACAUAUUGGGCCCCUUACAUGUCAUGACACCCUUGGUAGAUUGUCUGGAUGGGUUGCGAAUUGAGUGCGUGCGUGCGUGCUUGGCCUGCUGUUUGUGCUGCAGGGCAAGCAAGGCGACCGCGAGCGCACGCUACUGCACCUGCUGGGCGCCACCGGAAGCACGCAGGGCUACCUCACCAUUCUGCGGGCUCUGGCCAUGGCUGGCCUUUGCUUUGACCGCUAUAAACGUGUCAUGAACGCGGUCGACCAGGUGAGUGUCCGAGACACCGGGGCGGGGUGCUGGCUUGAUUGCUCGUCACCUAUGCCUGAUGACCCAAGCUGGUGUGCUGGAUCCCGUCACCCACUGCAGAACGGAUACUCGCCGCUCAUGCUGGCGGCCGUGCAUGGGCAGCACGCGCUCGUCAUGGCGCACAUCAGCUUUGCAAAGGAGCAGCUGGACGAGGAGGCGCAGCAGCUGCUGAACGAGGCCCUGUCACCCGACCUACGUAAGGUCAGCGAGCGUGCGGUGUUACAGCUGCUGGACGGGCUGGUCCCGCAGCCGGCCGCCCUGGGAGGCCUGCUCACCAUCCUGUGCUCUCAGUUCAACGGACACAACGACCAGCUUCAGAAGCUCCUGGCGUACGUGCCGCCGGUACUGCGGCUGCCAGAGGUGACCGGCGGGCAGGGCGGCGGGGCAAGCAGCAGCGGGGCGGGCGGCGAGGUGGCUGCGGGCGGGCUGCUGGCAGCCGCACAUGCGCACCUGGGCGCGUCCCAGGAGAAGCUGGAGCAGGCGCUCGAGGACUCCCGCCUGCAGCCGCUGCUGCGCUGCCUGCGUGGGCCGGUUCAGCCGGCGGCAGGCCAGGAGGCGGGACCCCACAUUGUGGAGCAGGUGGCGCGCGGCGCGCUCAAGCUGUUUGCGACGGCCGCAGAGCUGCCGCUGACAGACGCGGUCGUGAAUAUUGGAGUCUAUGUACUGCCGGCUCGGUUACUCACGGCAAAGGUGACUGGCGCCCGUAUGGAUUUAGACAGGUCGCGCCCUGAUGCAACUAGCUAUACAGAUGCCGCAACGGUCUGGGAAACGUCGGGCGUUGCGCGGAUGCAUCCAUACCCAUUCGCACGUGUGCGUCUUGCUCUGCAGACCGCUCGGGAGCUGGGCGCGGACACCCCCUUCCAUGCAGCGGCUGCGAUGGCUGGUCCCCUGCCCGGGCUCUAUGCUGCGGUCGAGGAGACGUUUGGAUGCAAGCUUGCCGACAAAUGCCUGGCGGAGUUGAACGCGGUAGGUGCGAGGAGCAUAGUGCCACAGCAGUGGAUGACGGCGUGUGGUUGAGGCUAUCCAAUUCAGUGCAUACCAUACCGUCACAGUGGCAGAACGCUCCCACUCCUCCCACUACUUUCCCCGCCCGACCAAGUCCUCCGACCCUCCAUACCGUUACCGAUUUCCCCUGUUUCGCCUAUCCCUCCCCUCUUCAGUCGCGCGAACAGCAAGUCCAAUCGCUCCCUCCUCCGGUCCGCACUGGCUCAUCUGUCUUUUCAGGCACCCCCAUCAAUUACCGUGCCUGCCGCACAGAUCCCGCACGAACUGUCCUCUCCCACCCAUCCGCAAGGACUGUCCCGAACGUCCACCGUGUACCCCUGAACGCGCACAACCCCCCCCCCAUUGACGUUCAGUGAUGGCGUGUGCGCAGAGGAGACAAUUAGCGGAACUCACAGCCGCGACACGGGUAUACAAUUGUACAUUCUAUGGCGCUCAUUGGGCACAGCUAACUGUGUACUUCUUUGCAUUUGUGUCCACGCAGGACGGCCGCACGCCGCUGCAGGUGCUGCUGCAGUGCCACCCAGUGCUGAUGUCCGCACCCAGCAGGGCGUUUGGAAAGGUGGACGACCACCGCACGGAAGAGGGACGCGCCAAGCUCGCCGCGAUCGCCGUCGGUCUGCGCGACUUCAUGGCGGAACGGGUCAAGGACUCCGCCACUCAAUCGCUGCAAGCGGAGCUGGGCAUGGCGGUUCCCAACCUGCUGCCAGGAUGCUGGUCGUGAGCGCCGCCAUUCGGUAGGUCGGGCUUCGUGACGGUCAGGUGGUAGCUUUGCCCCGCUUCUGGUGUGCCUAGCGGCGGUGUUGCGUCAAGAGGGGGUAUCCGAUGGUCUCUCAUGGCCUGGGAGGAAGGUGUGGAUGGCGUAUGUAUGCCCUGUGUUCCUCUUUCCGAAGGAUAUGCAUGUGUUUCCCGCGGAUGCACCGAGCGCUAUGCACAAUGCCCGGCGUGAUCCAGGCCCAUCCCAUUUACAGGGGCGGGUGGCGGCUGGCGCUGCGGCGAGUGAAGGCGCGGCGGGUGGUGGCGGUGGUGGUGGCUGUAUUAGUCGCUGUACCCGCCCGUGUACGGCACUGUCGAUCUUGAGCUGCUGCGCCUGGGCAACUGUGGCGGCCGCGCGUGCUUGGGCGUCGUGCGUGACAUUGGAUGGGUGCGGGCGGCGGCACCUCCUGUCUUUCCGCAAGACUGCAGUGCUUAAGCGGGAGCCCUGACGUGACUUAAAUACUUGUCUGCUAUGGCUUCGGAUCAUGUGCCUGAUACGCGGAUGCCGACACAAAAGGUGAAAGCUCUGGCCGGUACUCUUGCCCCACUGUCACCAGUGGAGUAAAGCUGUAACAACGGAGGCGUUAUGGAUUGUUGCUGCUGCCCACGCAUGCUGGGGCUCCCCGGUGCGUGCGUGUGACAAGUAGACAUGCAGGGCAGGGGGGCACGGACCGUUGCUUUAAGUGCGCCAUCAGGCACGGGUGAAAACCAAAGAACGACGUGUUGCAGGGUCUGCAUUCCCACAUGCGCUUGCACUUGCUCUUCGGGCCACGUGCCCCAGAUUGCCGCCUGACCUACCGGGCGUGCACAACCUGACCUGGCAGUGGGAACUUAGGUCUACAUUAGAGGCGUUGCACGUAUUAUCAAUGAAACUAUGAAAGCCCCUCAGUAGUGCCCAGCGGUGCCGCGGUGGUCGCGAACAGGGCCAUGGCUAAAAGCAGAAACGUGCGUGGGCUGCCGAUAGUGCCGAAUAUGCGGAGAUGGGCCGCGGCCAGCGCCACUGGUGGGCAGCAAGUGCGGGUUUAGACGGAUGAAGGGGAAGAAUCACCACAAGGGCGGGCAGGGGAAGCAAUGAUGGAUUGCGUCUUGCCUUUCAGCCUGAGCAACUCUGAACUUCAUCUUACAGCACCAUAUCGGCCGGUUGCCCAAUACCUCACGCCCGCAUCCGAUGCUUUAAGCGCGCCAACAGGCACGGGUGAAACCAAGGACAUGUGGGAGCUGCUGCUGCCAUGCCUGAUUCGACGUGGGCGGCCGCGUCCCGUUGUCCGGGCCAGCCAACCCUCAUUCAUACCUGCUUUUUACAAUGCGACCCAGCCUGUACAUACGUACGGGACGGUAGGGGGCUCCUGCAAAGAGUUCGUGUGAUUGGGGCGCCGGCCGGACCAGGCCGGAGGCCCUCACGGGUCCCCUCUCGCCCACUUCAGCUGUGCGGAUGACCCGACCGUGCAAACCCAGCUAACCGGGUUCCGGAGCAAUCAGCUACCGGGGGCACCGGUGACUCAGUCGGCGGGGCAGACAGGCCAGCGCAUCUGCACCACAGGAAGCCGCCUGCCGGCAUCUUCUCGGUUGUCGCACCCUCCUCACCUAGCCCUCUUCCCCGGCCCAAGAACCUCGCCUGGCCCACAUCGCAACAGCCCCCGCUCCACGUGGACGUAGGUGGAUGAGCGGGACCGAGCCGCCAAGCAGCAGUGCCAAUGCCACCGGGGCCUGUGUCCAUGCAGUCCCAGGUUGCAGCCGAUGUAGCUGCUGUCAGGCCUACUCGGGCAUGCGCCGCGCACGCACGGUUCGUGUGGCGCAGAGAACACGGAGAACAAGGCUGCACAGGAGAACCUACAAAGAGUUGCAGUCCUCAGGCAAUCCUAAGGUGCCAAAACCCAGCCCUAACCUGCAAUCGCUUGGGCCUCAUGCUCCCGGUUGCAGCUGAUCCAGCUGAGGCUUGCGGGGCGUGCAUCGCCGCCAACCUCAACGCGGGUGGCACGGAGGCCCCAAGCCCCGACCAGGCUCCGCCGUGCUCUCUGGCUCAUGAGUGCUUGCAAUUUGUCCUUUACGGGAAAGGGAUACGCGCUACAGUAGUUGCCUCCUUCAGGUUUGCCAUAAGUUUGCGCGUGUGAAAUCAAGACGCCUGUAACGCGUAAUCAUAUUCGUUUUUGGAGCAAAUGGAUCUUAUACAUAAGAAUGUGCAGGUGUAAAUCGCAGACCCAGGGACCGCUUUGACUAAAUGCCGACCGGGCCCCCAUCAUGCAAGUUGUGCACCUGGAUGCCCUUUUGCCCAGUCCCGCUAAAUUCUAAGUUGUUUCUCGCUCUGAGCUUUUACCUUAGUACUCUAGGGGCGCCUGCCGACUUGGGCACGUGCUGAGAAAGAUGCAGGCUUCUUUGCGCGCGCGGGCUAGGCCCUUUACCUCGGGUAUGUGACUCUAGAGCUGGACGUAGAUCUAGGAUUGAUGCGACUAAAAUUGUGGGCUUGCUCUGCAGGCGCCCAGCCAUCGCUGCGGCGAGCGCCCGCUCGCGUCUGCCGCCCCGUGGCGUCAGCAGCGGCUGCUAAAGGACCCGUUGUUGUUGUGGACAACUACGAUAGCUUCACAUACAACUUGUGUCAGGUGGGGCGGUCGCUGCAUGUUUGCCGCGAGGCAUCGGCACGUCUCAGCGCCUCACCGCUGCCCUCUCUGACGCCAAUUGCAGUAUCUGGGUGACUUUGGGGUUGACUAUGUGGUGUACAAAAACGACGAGAAAACCGUGGAUGAGAUCAGGGCCAUGAACCCUCGCGGUAUCCUCGUGUCGCCCGGCCCCGGUGAGUGCUCGCCUCGCAGCCCCAGCGCCACGUUCUUGGCUUGGCGCGUCCCGCCUUUGAUACGCCCAAACAGGGCUAACUUGUGUCAGCUAGCCCUUUCCGCAUCUUGUGCAUGGAAUGCUGGGCUGUGCAACUGACGGUGAUGCGGUUUCCUGUCAUGUGCGCGCAGGCCGGCCCAUCGACUCGGGCAUCUCCCUACAAACAGUGCGGGAGCUGGGUCCCGACUUCCCACUAUUUGGUGUGUGCAUGGGGCAUCAAUGCAUUGGCGAGGCAUUCGGAGGUGCGUCGUGCUGGGGCUGCUGCGAUGAUGGUGGAGGGAUGAUGGAGGGUAGCAUGGGUCAGGAACGGGGAGGAGGCCAGGGGCGGAACACGCCGCACACGCCGCACCAGUGAGGGCCGCGCACGCCAAACCUGGCUGAGGGCAGGCACCAGGCAGCAUAUGUACGUGAGGAUGAGCAUCAACCCGUUCAGGCGCCUGAAGCAUUGCCGUGCGUCGUGUGAGGGUCGUGGUGGGGCAGCCGCAGCCACAUACCGCUACCUGCAGCGGGCGGCAACAGCGGGCGGCCACUGCGGGCGUGGCGACAGUGGCAGCGGGGCGCCGGCGCCGCCCGCACCCAGGCCGCAGAAGUUGCAAUUGAGGGAAUCCAGUGACCUCAUACAGCGGCCUGGCGCAGCCCUCAGGCCGCCGCGCCAGGACCUGCAACAUUCCCCCUGGGGCGGCAGGCGACUGCAGAGCCGGUCGUCCGCGCAUGGGCGGUAGCUGCUGCCGUGGCUGCCACCCGUCAGACUGCCGCCCCGUCAGACUGGCUCCCUGGUGUGCUGCGCUGCAGGUGACGUGGUGCGCGCGCCGUGCGGGGUGAUGCACGGCAAGACGUCGCCGGUGUUCCACACCAACGUGGGGCUCCUGGAGGGCCUGCCCAAGUAGGUGUGGCGUGCCGCGUGACGUGUCGCGAGCGGCGUGGGAUGGGGAGGGGAGGGGAGGGCGAGGGGAGAAGCGAGGGGUAGGAGGACAGGGGAGGGGGGGGGAAAGGGGGGGAGCAUUGGACCCGAUACAGAGGGUAGCCUGCAGCUUCGGCGUGGUGGCAGGGCAAUACGGUAGAGUAGAGAGGAGGGGAUCGUGCGCGAUGGUCUUGCGGGUUGGAAGUGAGGGCUACUGGAUCGGGGCUGGAAAGCAGCUUCAGGGGUGCAUGCGGGAGAGGGUGAAACAUGGCAAUGAGAUGGCGCGGCAUCCGACCGAGCAGCUCGGGCGGCGUGGCAGCAACAGGAUGGCUUUGGGGGCGCAGCUGGAGCGCGGGCCUGCAGCGGAGGCCGUCAGCUGGAGGGCAGGCAGCGGGUGGCAGAGCAGAUCUGGUGGUCCAGAUGGAGAUGCACGCGGGGAUGGGCAGGGGCGUUGAAGGGCGGGCGGCACGGGGUGGGCGGAGCGCAGCGGGAAAGGGGGACUGCUCGUGGCAUGACGUGACAUGGCUCGUGGGGUGGGUGGUGGGGCUGGGGCGGGUGUCGACAGUGUUGUGCUCGCUGCCUUCCCGCCCCGGCUCCUGCGUCCUGCUUACGCACGCGUCACAGCACACCCACAACUGCGUUCUCCAACACCUCCACCUGCAACGCGACUCGCUAACCACCCCCACCCCCGUGGCCCGAAUUCCUCUUGACCCUGCGCGCCAUCCCAACCGGGGCACAUGUUCUCCGCUCUGGCACGUACACCCCGCUUUCACCAGAAUCGCACGCCUAAACCGUGUCAUCAAUCCCCCCCAUCGCCCUUCACCCGCGGCCCACGCCCCACUCCCGCAGCCCCUUCGAGGCGUGCCGCUACCACAGCCUGGUCAUCAAGCGCGACACCAUCCCGGAGGACCUGGAGGUCACGGCCUGGACGGAGGACGGCACCAUCAUGGGCGUGCGCCACAAGAAGUACCCGCACAUCCAGGGGGUGCAGUUCCACCCCGAGUCCAUCAUCACGCAGGUGCGCGGCAGGGGUGUGUGGGAAGGAAGGGGGUUGUAAGUGCCAGCCUGAACUAAACCAAACCACGCCAAACUAGCGGAGCACAGGCAGAGGCGCGGGCACUAGGGGGCGCUAGGGCAACUGUCAAGGACUUGCACCCGGCGCCGUGGAUAUGAACAUAGUCCUGUCACCAACAUUGCUGUACCCUCGCCACUGCAGAGUGGCAAGAAGAUUGUGGAGAACUUCGUGAAGACUCUGUAACGCCCUGUUGUGACGGUGAAGGUGGCGAGGAGUUUGGCGAGCAGCGUUUAGCGGCGAGGAGCUGCGUGGAGCUAUUGCCAUGAGCGACUUGCGUGGAGGCACUGCCUUCUCUGAAACUGUGAAAGUCAUGUUGCGGCGGUGCCUGGCCAAGUGGUGGCGCAGGGCGUGGCCCCAGCUGUUGCCAGUGAGGGCGGUGUGCUGCAGCUGAGGUGAACACGUGGUGCAUGCGCCUCGGGAACCUCCGGUGGAAAUGAAGUGAAGUGAAGGAGCGUGCUGGAGGCGUGGCAGUGUGAGGACAGGGCAGCUGAGACGUGAGGGUUGUGGAGUGGAGCAUGUGACUGGGUAGCAAGGUGUGAUUGGGGCGCGUAGCUAGGGGUGCGUGAGAGCGUGGGUUGCAUGGUCUGCAUCUUGACGCGGGUUGGGCACAAUUGCAGAGAGUGUGAAAGGAGGGCAUGCGUGCAGGCUGUGCAGGCCCCACGCCUCUGAACAACUGGGCAAAGCCGGGGAGGUGGCUUCGGGUUUGGUGUGGGGUUAAGUCGUGGCUGCCCAUGGAGCGGCGGGUGUGAUUGCAAAGUGGGCCACGGAAGUAGCUAUGAGACACCGUGUGUUAUGCUGCUACUGCGUGCAAGGGGUUUAUAGACACGGGUUAUUGAGGUUAGGGUUGUUGGUGGACGGCGCUUAAUAGUCGGGCAGUCGGACAAGAACCCUGGUUUGGGCCCUGCAUGAAAGGUGAGCGCCGAACAAAGCAUGCAAGCGAGCCAUGUCUUACGACAUCAACGCUACCGCUUUUAAACGUGUAUCUUGGAAUCCACAGCGGUGUCCUAACUGCAGUCCUGGGUCGCCUCGCCUGGAGAAAUCGGCUUUGCCAGAACUGUCAUCCCGCUUACCCAAGCUUCCCGCACAUGCUUUUUGUACAAUUCGGCUUGCCCAAGCUUUCUUUAGGCCAUAUUGAAUUUACUUCCAUCCGCUGCGCGCGAUAAGAAGGCUCCUGGCCGCCGACUCAUAGUUUACCUCGCUUUUCGUUUGCUUGUUUAGUCGGUCGCUCGCCACGAUGCUGGCUAAGUUUGCCUCUGGGCAAUUACUGGGGGCAACGGCGGGCUGCUCUACGCGGCAGGCGGCAAUGCCCGCACGUUGCCUCAGCGGUGUCUCCUCGCGCGCCCAACAGCCUCUGUUAUCCUCGGGCCAGACUAGCGCCCAAUUGCCUAUUCAAAGUCAUCGCUGCGCUGUAAUUACGCAAGGCCAGGCAAACAGCUCGCUGCGCCUGCCGAUUGAGUUGGACCUUGAGACGCCGUUGCCCGGCUUUGAUAGCAUUUCGUCGGCGCUGGCGGACCUUGCAGCUGGAAAGGUUGUGGUGGUAAUUGACGACGAGGAUCGGGAGAAUGAGGGCGAUCUCAUCAUGAACGCGGACAAGGUCACCACGGAGACCAUGGCAUUCUUCGUCGAGUACACCAGCGGUGUGGUGUGCAUUUCCAUGGAAGGCCAGGACCUGGACCGCCUCAAGCUGCCGCUGAUGAUUAACAGCGCGGAGAACGAGGAGGCCAUGUACACCGCCUUCACGGUGACCGUGGACCUGCGCGACGACAUCACCACCGGCAUCUCCGCCUCCGACCGCGCCAAGACCAUCCGCCGCCUGGCUGACCCCUCCGCCACCUGGACUGACUUCCGCCGCCCCGGCCACAUCUUCCCGCUGCGCUACCGCCCCGGCGGCGUCAUCGUGCGGCCCGGCCACACGGAGGCCGCCGUGGACCUAGCGCGCCUGUCCGGCUCCUUCCCCGCCGGCGUGCUCUGCGAAAUCGUCAACAAGGAGGACGGCAGCAUGUCGCGCACGCCGCAGCUGCUGGAGUUCGCCAAGCGCCACGGCCUCAAGUGCAUCACCAUCGCCGACCUCAUCCGCUACCGCCUCCGCAACGAGGCGAUCGUGACGCCCGCCGGCGAGCCCACGCCGCUCACCGCUGCCUCCGGCGCGCGCCUCACCGCGCAGGCCUUCCGCAACGCCGUGGACGGCACCGAGCACGUGGCCUUCGUGCACGGCGCUGUGGCCGACUCGGCCUCGGACGUGCUGCUGCACGUGCACCACGAGCGCACCGUGGCGGACCUGCUGGACUGCGCCGCGCCCGGCACCAGCGCCGGCGGCGCUGCCGACUGCAGCCUGCCCGCAGCCAACGCGAGCUCGCUGGACGGCGCGCUGCGGUCCGUGGCGGCGGCGGGCGCGGGCGUGGUGGUGUACCUGCGCGGGCAGAGCGCGCGCGGGCUGCCGCCGUCGGCGGAGCUCGCGGCGCUUGGCAGCGGCGGCGCGGGCGCGGGCGCGCUGUACUCGUGCGACCUGAAGGACGCGGCGGUGGUGGCGCAGAUGCUGCGGCAGCUGGGCGUGCGCUCCGUGUCGCUGGCGGGUGGCGAGGGCGCGAUGGCGACGGCGCUGCGCAGCUGCGGCCUGGCGGUGCGGCCCGCGGCGGCGGCGGCGGGAGGCGCGGGCGCGGCGACGCAGCACGUGAACGGCAACGGUGCCAGCAGCAACGGGCACGUGCACAGCUCGCCGCUGCAGACCGCGGGCAUGCGGUGAGCGGCGGCUGUGCGCCGGAACGCAGGGCCGGGGGGCGGGGGGCGGGGGUCGGGAGCGGGAACGAGAGCGUUUAGGGUGGCGCCGUGAGGCACCGUGUUAGGAGCGCGGCAACUUGGUCACGACUGACUGACGUGUGCGGUUGACAUGACGGCGUGGUAGUGCGCAGAUCCCACGGGCAGCGGGCAUGCGGGUUCGGGACAUGGGCGGUGUGCACGGCAGCGCGGGUCUGCAACGCGGGUCUGUACGCAGGUUCACAUGUGUCGGCAUGGGCAUGGGCAUUGUAUUUGCCAGUAGCAACCGGGUGUGACGGGAACAGGUCGCAUAGCGAGGAGGCAGGACGGCCCCCGCGGGCACGGAAAUACUCUACCUGAAGGUGCGGAAUCGAAGGCGCGGCUCGGGCCUGUGCCCAGCCAGCCAGCGGGCACGGCUGUGAGCGUGUGAGGUUGCCGUGAUGGAAUGUUCUGCUUGGGGGCUAUGCGAUUCGGGUUGGCCCGCGCCCAACGAGAGACUAGGCUGAGUAAUUGAGAGGACAAGCAACGUGAGGGUGCGUGGAUGCGACCGACUCUGCUGCGCAUGCGGGUCCUGCGGAAGGUGUUGACUGUUACAUGGCAUGUCUGAGUUGUAGCUAGGAUAAUGACUGCUUGGUGAGUGAGCGCGUAGGUUGACGUGUUACGUGUGCAUGCCUACAUACAAUUGACCGCUGACAGAACUGUCGUGUUUUGGUUUGACUACGGUAGUGUUAGUGUACAUGAUGUCGCUACGGUAACACCUACGUUACAGGCGUGUCGCGGACUGUGUGUGGAGGGGGGCGGUGUGUGACCGCAGUGCCCGGGCCAUGGGCAAGUGCAAUAGCAAGGGGGCGGACAUUCGGACGCACGUGUGCAAGAUGGCCCAAGCCUAAUGAGAGACGGGUGAGAGUGUGAGAAGCAAGGAUUGUGCGUGCAGUGAGUAUGAGUCCAGCAGGUGGACAGGAACAGGCGGGUGCUUACGGCGCGGCGUGUGGUCCGAUGGCCCACGGCCAGUCGCAAGAGGUGUUAGCGGCACGAUCGCAUCUACAGCAGCAACGGCCAGGAGAUUGCGGCGGGCACAUACGGUACGCGCGGAGGCAUGACGCGUCAAGCUGGUGCGUGCGGUCCUUGUGAUAGACUGCAUUGGCAUGUGCUGUAAUGUGGAAAGUACCGUACCCAAAUAGCGGACCUCCUGGAUUAUGAGUCAGAACGGCUGCAGGUGCGAGCAACGCGGACGCAUGCUGGAUACAGUCACGCGAUUGCAAGUGCUGCCAGCGGCAUCAAAGAGUGUAGUGCAGCGGGAGCCCAGUGUCACGCGAUUGCAAGUAGGGACCAGUGUCGGGGCACGCGAGCACGGCAUCAGCACACGGUAUCGCGUGACACCAGGGACGCAGCGCAAAACAUAAUUACAAGACCUUUCAGGAGGCCGCGGUCGAGCGACAGCAUUCCACACCGCAUACGACCUCCAGCUUGUGGCUCCUCAUGCCGCUCCAGCGCGCGUAUCACGUACUCGCCCGCGGUCAUUGCACCACCGCCUCACCAUCCGGCACACAAGAUUCCCCCUGUCGCGCAACCAUGCUCUCCGUAGGCCCGUUCACACAGCCCGUCCAAACAAGCCACCUACGUGGCCCAUCACAGCGCCACACCUUGUCGCAUGCAGGUAUACCAGCCCGCAGUCCUGACACACAACGGGUUUGCGCGCAGGGGCCUUCCGGCACCGGCCAAGCCGCCCAGCGCUGUCUUGCCCACGCAAGGACUCAUCCUACUAGGCAGCACCCAGCGCCGCUCGCCUCUCCACCUCCGCAGCCGGCCGAAGCGCCCCGUCUCCCAGGCUCUUCCUUCAUGCAGCAUCUCCCGCCCUGCGCUCCAGUCAGCCGCUAUGGCCAGGUUGUCCAGCCGCUUCGCGCUGCGGGUGCGCCUUCUUCCGCAGUCCGCUUAGAUGUAUGUCGCUGCGAGGGGCAACACACAAGGACCGAGGCGAAAAUGUCGUAAACCGACGGACCCGCCGGUGUAGCACCGGUGUGAGACCAACCAGAGCCAGCGCCCGGCGCACAUCGCACGCUCCAUUCCUCCGCCCCGUCAACUGUACUGCUGGUUGAUAGGUGUUGCUUGGCAGGAACGCCGUGCCAAGCCAGCUGCUGUCCAAGCUGGAUCCAACAGGACGGCCUCCCCUUCCCUCCCACACACACGCCCCUCUUGUCCCGCCUCAUCGCCCCUUCUUAAGGCUGAAUACGUGUUCCCUGCGCUUCCCACCCUUUUCCUUCCCUUCCUUGCUUUUCCUAUCCCACCCUUUCCCGCUCUCACCAGGCAUCUUGCCGACGGACACCGUGUGCCGCUCCGUGUACAUGCGGCCUGCAGGCGCAGCAGCAGGAGCCGCAGCAGGAGGCAGGGGCGGGGCAGAGCAGCUGAGGCAGCGCAGCAGACAGUGCAACUGGGGCCGACGCAACGCACGCAGGGCGCCUGGGCCCGGCCGGUCAUGUCCUGCAGCGCCUCUCCCUACGCCGCUCAGGCAGCGUGCAGGCGGCGUGCGUUUGCACGCCCCAGCAGCAUGCCCCAGUGGUCUGCCACGUGCCAACUACUGUGAGGCCCCCUUCGUUCCCGGCGCAGCCCGCCAAAUCCGGAUCCAGAAGGACUCACCCACUCGAGGCAUGACGCACCACACCAGCGUCAGGUUCACGUCCCGCCCGCGCAGGUUGUGCCCGGGGUCGAUGAACGCGUACUUUGUUUUAUGGUUGGACAGCUUGAAUACCGCCUUGUCCUAUGGAAUUUGGUUGUGAUGUUGGGGCCAAAGAAGGGGUUGGGUUGGUUGGGAUUGGCUUCACCUGGAAGCUUAGCUUGUUCGUGUUCAGGCAGCAGCGCUGACGGUUCAGUCUCAGACCCUAAGCAAGGCCCCAGCGCUCCCUCAAGCCUCGUCACUGUGUAAGGUAGGGGCCUUUCGUGCGCCUGCAGCGAGAGCCCGGCGGCCAACAACGGCUGCCGCACCAGCUACAGCACGGCACGCAGGUGCCCCUCUUCCCCGCGUCCUCUCCCCUACGCGCCCGCCGCUUGCCUUCUGCUGCACAAUGGAGUCCCACAGCACCACCUCGUUGAUGCGGUUCUCCUGCGUCUCAUACUCCGCCUGAACGUAGACGAACAGCUGCUUCGUGUUCCAUGUGAACACGCUGCGAAGAUCGGCGUUGACGUCAAACGUCACGACCGCCUGCGAAGACACACGUGAGAUUCAGUGUGGCGAACCGCACUGGCAGUAUGCCAAUAAUCGGGUGCGGCGAGCUCAGCAUGGUCGGCCAAGCCCUUACUUGGUCUUUUCCGCCGUGGUGCUGCACAAGGCGCCGAACUUCCCGCAGUCCUAGCUUAAUGUUUGGAUUGGACUUAUGGAGUAGAUCUGCGCAGACGCUGCAUGUUAUCGCCUGUCCCAAGAAAAUGCCCUGCCCGAUCACUCGUGUAUUCGCGUCUUGCCUGUUGAUGACGUAAGGAUGCAUAGCACAGCUGCUACCGUUCCAAAGAACGUUACAGCCGUAUUCAGGCGGUGGUAUAUCGAGUGCAUUUCUCUUGCGACCUAGCCUACUGACUGAGAGACACCUGAGUCUCAAGGGCAGUAUAUUUAUUUGCCAACACUUGUACACUGUCCUGCUUUCUGGUGUCGAGCGGAUGAGUGUGCCAAAUUGGGGCUUACAUUCCGCCUGCGUGUCCCGCCUGCUUAGCCCCCCUCCGCGGCUUCGCCCACGAGGUCUGUCUCGCCUAGUCGCCUUCCUCUGCACCUCCGCCACUCCCGCCCAGCAUCAAAACAACUGCAUCUUGGUCACCGCUCCAUCGCAGAACCGAAUGACCUUGACGUCACGCUCCACCGGCAGCCACCACACCGACGACAAGUACGACGACACGCCAACCGCCUCCGCCUCUUUCGCACCCCCGCUUCCCCCCGCCCUUGCCCUUGCCACAUCGGCCGGCGCCGGCCCGCCCAGCAGGCACCGCACACUGUCUGCCCGGCACCGAGCCAGCAUAACGUACGAUAGCGCGCCAUAUGGCGACGGCUGCGCCUCGAAGCCGCAGGCGGGCAGGUCGCACUCGUCCAACAUCAGCUGCUCCAGGCGGGGGCAGGCGGCCGCCAGGCGGGACACCACGUCGGGCGACAGCUGCGUAAGGAAGGGGCAGGUUGGCGCGUGGGGACGGAGCAAGCAAGGGCACGGGGCGGCGCGUGCUUGGUGCAGUGUCCGCUUGGAGUGGUAUGGGCAUGGUCAGAUCUGGCCCACGUGACCCCUUUCCGUGCCCACCCUACCCACAAACUAUUCCGAACCCAUCCUACCCACCCCAUCCAGUGCUCACCUGGCAGCAGUGCCGCAGCCGCAGGUUGCUCAGCGCCCCACAGGUCGUAAGCCAUCCCAGCAGCGCCUCGCAGCUAAACGGCCGCCGCCCCGCGUCCCCCACCUCCCCUUCUCUCUGUCCUUGCUGUGUUCCCCCCUCCUCCGCCUCCGCCACCUGUGAUGCCGCAGCGGCGGCCGCACCACCCCUGCCACUGCCCUCCUCCACCGCCACCACACCAGCGGCGCGGCCACGCCCCGCCUGGGCCUGAACACGACCCACACGCGGUCGCUGGUAGCCGGUCUGCUCCAGCCGCAGCUGACUCAGUGCAGGCGUGCCGCGGCGGCGCAGCUCCCCUAGCAGCCCCACCGACAGCCCCGCCACGCCCACCAGCGCCAGCGUGCGCAGCCGGCGCAGGGGAGGCAGCGAAGGCGGCAGCGGCAGCGGCAGCGGCAGCGGCAGCGGUAUCCGCGCCGCGUGCUCAGCACCAGCAGCACCAUCGGUGCGCGCGCUGCCGCCGCCGCCGCCUGUUCCAACCUCGCUGCCUCCUGCUGCCAGCUGCCCGACCGGCCUGCCGUACAGGAGUGAGAGCAGGUCGUCGUCGUACAGCUCCGUGGCACUGCCGCCCACCAGCUGCAGGUCAGACAUGGCCCACCGCCGUACACAGCGCCGCCGUACGCACUGCCGUACACACCGCCGCCGCUGCUGUGGCGGUGCUUCUUCUUCUUCUUCUGCCUCCGCGGCCGCGGCAGCUUCCAACCCCUCCCUCUGCCCCUCCUGCCCCUCGUGCCCCUCCGCCUCAUGCCCCUGCAUCGCCAGUCCUUGCUGCCCCCCCACCGCCGCCUUCUGCUCCGCCAGCCAGCCCAGCGGCCGCAGCAGGUCCUCCCGCCGGAAGGGGCCCAGGCAGUGGAUGAGGUGCAGCUCGUGCAGCUGGACCAGGUGGGGAGAAGCGGGGUGGGAGAGGGGUCGGGCUACUCCAAUCCCAACCAACGGGGGUUGUAAUCGAAUUAUCGAAACCAUACCCAAUAAGAGGAGCUGCAGGGAUAAGUAGACGCAGAAGACACACCACGCAGGAAGGCAAGUCGACACAGGAAGGCCAGACACACGCCGCACGCCCCUAGCAAGCCCGAUUGCGUUGUGGCCCGGACACACAGGCGACGUGUCCGCCGCAAGUACUGCAGCCUUUCCGCCGUUGCCCGAAUGCACCGUUUGCGCCCUUCCUCCCUUCCUCCCUUCCUCCCCAUCCCCAUCCCCUCAUCUCUUCCAACCUUCCACCCUUCCUCCCUUCCAUCCCCUGCCCGCCCACCUUGCAGCACGCCGCCAGCAGCUCCCCCAGCCCGGCGCCCGACACGCCCGCCAUCUCCAGCCGCAGCGCCUGCAGGUGCGGGCAGGCGGCGGCCAGCGCCCGCAGCCCCACGUCGUCCACGGCCGCCCCCACCCCCAGCUCCAGGCGCGAGAGCACCAGAGAGCGGUGCGGCGGAGGGGGCGGGCACGGGGCGGGCGCAGGAGGCGAGGCGGCGGCGGUGGUGGAGGUGGUGGAGGGAGUGGCGGUGGAUGAUGGCAGGGAAGAGGAGGCAGAGAAGGCGGAGGAGGAGGGGUGCGUGGAGGCGGGGACCGCUGGUCUGCCGCAGCCGCACAGGCGCAGCACGGCGGCGGUGUUGAAGCCCCACCCCACGGCCAGGCUUCUCAGGCCGUGCAAGCCUGCAAGCUGCUGCCCCUGAGCCACCUCCGCCGCCACCUCAGCCCUCUCCGCCACCGCCGCCUCAACCUCCACUUCCGCUUCCUCCUUUGCAUCUCCCUCCUCUCCAGACGAGUCGCUCGCCGAAGGGGUUUGCGCUGCAACCGGUGCCGCCUCUGCCUGAGGCAGGCGCGCGCCGCACCCAGGAGGCACCCGGUGUGGCACACACUCCGUCGGAAGUGGCGCCAGUGGCGGCGCCGCCGCCGCCGCCCGAGGUAUCGGCGGCGCCGCCGUCCGCAGCAUCGGCGGCGGCAGUGCCGCGGGCGCCAGGUCGCGACAGCGGCUGAGCCCCAGGUGCUGCAGCCGCAGCCGGCAGCCACAGGGAUCCCUGGCCUCACCGCUGCCAGCCCCCACUGCCACUGCCACUCCCGCCGCCGUAAAAUCCCCGCCAGCCGCGGCCCCGGCUACAGCCUCCGGCACCGCAGUAAGCUGUAGCAGCGCCAUCAGCUGCUCUGGCCCAACGCCCGAAGAGCCGUUCAGCUCCAGGCGCUGGAGGCGGCGCAGCGCCGGCUGUAGCACCGUCAGCCAGUCGUCGGCAGCUGUAGCAGCCGCCGUGGUGGCCGCAGCAGCCCUGGAAGAUGAGAUGGCUGUAGCAGAUGGCCGGCUCGCUGUGGCGCUUGCGGCCUUGGCACUAGCGGUUCCAUUGGGGGGCAAGCCCUUGGCAGUAGCCGCACCCUUGGUGGCAGCAGCAGCGCUCUUGGCAGAAGCAGCAGCGCCACCACGAGCAACGCUGCUACUGCUGCUGCGGCUGUUGCUACUGCCGCUUCGGUUGCCGUUGUCGAAGAAGCCGCCCAGCUCGAGGUCACACAGGCGCAGGUCUGCAUACGGUAACGGGCAGUUGGUGUUGCUUCCAGCGCUCUGCUCAAACCCACGCCGCUCCGACAUGGAAAUGAAAAUUUAUUCGGCCCUUUGAUGCUUGUUCCUAACCCCGCUCUUCCGUUCUGGGCUUUGGGGAGUUUGGGAUGAGGGCUCUGUCCCCGUCAACCGCCCACCUUGCAAGCACUCCAGUCGCGCCACCGCCUGUCGCAGCUCGCCGCCCCAGGCCCGUGCCACCACCGCUGCCGCCGCCAGCGCCUCCGCCCCCGCCGGCUGCCCAGCCGCUGCCGCUGUAGCUGCUGCCGCCGCCGCCGCCGCCACGCCGCCUGCCCACCUGUUCACAGGUGGCAUGGCAGCCCCCAGCGCACCCGCCGGGUCUCUGCCACCCCCGCCGUUAGCUCGCCUGGAGGAUGACCCGUUGCGGCUGCCCGCAGCAGCCCUUGCUGCUACAGCCGCGGAUGCGGCUGCUGAGUGCGCGGCUACUGCCGCCGCAGCUAAAAUGCCUGGCGGCGCGAGCGGGCAGCCGGACAGGUCGAGGGCGGUGAGGUUGCGGCAACAGCCCUGUGUGGCAUAAGGACAGGAUCAUGACCAUUGUCCCGACGGAAAUCCAUACAGUUAGAAUGACAGGCUGAACACAACCGCUGGCAUAAUGCCAAGCUGCACCUAGGCCCCCAAUCAGCUGGAAUUGGAUGACACAACACCGCACACGCACACACUUCGCACGGACACGCAUGCUCUGUUGUUCUCUUGCCCUGUCUCUCCCGAACACGAACACCACCAAUCGGAUCCCCCACGCACCGCUCUCCCCAGCAGCCGCAGCUCUUGCAGACCCGCAGCCGCCGAGUGUGUGGCCACCAGAGUGUGCAGGUGCGGCAGCAGUACACUGCCGCCACCCUCGGGGGGCAUCUCCGCCGCCGCCAGGAGCGCCAAAGCAAGCGGCGAGCCUUCAUGGCUCCGAUGUGCAACCUGUACAGAGGGGCACGGGCCAAAGCCUCUUCAAGCCCUCCACCUGUACUGUACAAUUCCAUUGCCAGGUUUCAUCCUGGAAAGGCUUCAAUCUAGACCCUCCCAAAGACGGUGAUUCAAUGCUUUUUGACGCCGUGGAGCUGGUCAAGCGCAGCGGGCAAAGCUGAAACCGUAACCAAACCCAAUGCUGCGAGCGCGGCCGUGACCGCUCUAAUCACCUGCAGGAGGGCCGCUAGUGCCGCGCUGUCGCCGUCGGGCUCAGCGACGCCGUCACCAUGGUCACUGCCCCCCUCCCCCUCAAAGGCCGACGGCCACUGGUUCCCAACCGCCAACGCAGCUGUGGUCAGGGCUACACCCGUCGCCCUGCCGUACAGCCCAUGGUACGACAGAUCCACGUAGGUCGGCGCCACCGGCUCCAACUGACCCUGCUGCCGCUGGCGCCGCUGCGGGACCGCGGCCGCGCCGCGCGCGUGCUGCGCGAGGCGCGUGACGAAGGAAGCGAACAGCUGCACCGCCUGCCAUUGCGGAUGCGGAGAUGAGCGAGAGCCCGAUUUGAAGAGGAUUACCGCAGGGGCCGCAGAGGCAGCACAAAGUGUCUGUGGAUGGUCUGGGCCCUGGUCUGGGCCCAAAAGGAUCUGCCGUCUAGAGCUCCCGCACCAGACCCGAGUUCCAACUGCUGCUGGCGGCGCCUGCACGCUACGCUCAGUGCCCCUCCACCUGCGCCUGCACACCCACGCGCUCCCUGACACCAAACACCGACGCGCUCGCGCUCGGCCCGCCACACCCUCCAUACUAACCUCCCUCUGAUGCUCCUCCCGCCCGCCCCCCUUCGGCACGCCCUCACCUCUGCGCUGCAGGCUGGGCUGGUCGGGUGCGCCGGCAGGCACGCCGCCCCCGACCCCAACACCAGGCCACCACCUCCAUCCGCACCCGCACCAUCGCCAGCCACACCGUCACCUGGACAGCCGCCUCUCGCCUCCAACCCCACCCGGGCCCCGGCCCCCGGCCCCGCCCCCGCGCCCGCCUCCGCUCCUGACCCCGCAGCCCUGGUUCCAAGGGGCCGCAUGGGCCCCGACUGGCUCGCCGCCCCCGCGUCCGUGACCACGGAUUCUCCGAGCAGCGGGGGCACCAGCGGCGGCUGCAGCGCGGGCCGGUAGGUGGACGGCUGGGGCCAUGCGGCGGGGGCCAGAUGCGCGGCCGCGGGCAGCUCGGGUGCCAGCCACAGCGUGUGGGCGGCCGGCAGGUGCGUCACGUGCGUCACCGGCAGCCCCGGAACCUGCAGCGUGGCGUGGCGAGCGUGUGGGUGUCGGUGGUAGGCAGUUGCAGCGGUCGUCAUGCCAACCAGGGAUGGGGUGGGGCAGCGACCGUGCAGGUAGCGUGGCGGCGUGUAAACUGGGAUUGAUAUACCGUACGGGUUGUGACGACAGGGCUGCGGGCUGCUCGUACAGUCAGGAAGUACUCACCGGCCAAGUGCCGGGGUCGCCAUGCCUGCCCUUCCCACCGACGGAGGCCGGCGCUGCAGGGGCGGGAAGCGCAUGGUCGCGAUCGCCUGCGGCGGCGACCGCCACCGCCGUCGCCGCCGCCUCGCCGUCGCGCGGCGGAUGGUGGGCGGCCAGCACGGCAGCAUGGCUGUCAGCGAGCAUCGCCACCCGCCCAUCACUCAACAGCACCGCCGCUGCCGCCGCGGCUUCGGCAGGGGGCUGAAACAUGUGUCCGCGCUCGAGCCUGAGCCGCGCUGCGCCAGCACCGCAGCGUGCUGGCGAGGUCGGCUUGUGGCGGCUUGCGGCGGCGGCGGCGCCGCCAGCUGCGCUGGGCAAGGCGCUGGGCUGAGUGAAGGGCGUGUCAGGCCGAAGGCUGUGCGCCGGAUGAGGAUGGCAGGCCAGGGCCUGCGACGUGGGGUUUUGGGUCGGCUGUGGGGCGGUUGCGUGGAGCAAGGCACGCCAGUCGCCAUCGAUGACGGCUCGGUGGCGCUCCGCCCUCUGCCGCCAGGCCUCCAGCCCACCAAGCCCGGCGCCGGCGCCACCUGUGCAGCCAGAGUUCAGCGAGCGUUGUGUGUUUAUGCAGGCCAGGCGUCACAGUUGGAUUUAUGAGCAACGCGCAUGUGGGUCGGGUGCAGGAAGCCACGGCGCCGCCCAGCCCGCCCUAAGAGGCGGCCGCGUACCUUGACACGACAGGCGGCCGUGUGUUUAGGGAGAGCCCGGGUCACAGCAACGACUGAGCCGGCCGCGAAGCGGGACUUGCCUGUUGUAUCCGUUACCAGAAAUAGUAGCGUGUGGCAUGUGGCUGCCACCGCGGCCUUAUCCAAGGGCCGCAGGCGGCGCAGCACAUCGGCGAGUAUGGCUGUAGGGAGGUCGCAAAAGGACCGCGCCAGCACGCCAGCAGCCUCCGGCACGCACUUACCAUCUUCAGGCAGCAUGGCUGUUAAAGCUGUUGCUAUAGCAUAAUUAUAUCCGCAUCAUCGUUCGGCAACCGGGAGUGCCCCUUCACGCCUAAGACGCGCAAACUCGAAACCUCGCCAACUGCGCCCGCGAGGUGGACGUGAGCUACGCAUGUGAAGUUGAUGAAAUUAAAUGAUCUACGAGUGCAGCUGGCGCUGGAAGGGUCGGUAGGAAUGCUUGAUGGGGCUGGCGCGGGUUCUCAUCCAUCGCGGUUCUCCUUCUAUUAAUCGAGUCCGCCCGGCUCCCAAAGCAUUUGCUUUCGACACACCAACACCACAACUGUCACGACCAAACUACGUACUACCUCAAUUACAUAUCAAACCCCGCGGCGUGCUACCUCCUUGCAUUCGCCUCUCAGAGUUUCCCUGCUCCCGCCAGCGCUACCAGGCCUGGAUUUUGAUCCUUUGGAAGGAUGGAGACGCUGUGGCCGGCUCCAUACGCCCUACCGUAAGUAGGAACGCAGAAGAAGCCGAGGAGACACGCAGUUGGGCCGCGCGAAAGUCGGUUGAAACGCAGCUCAAGCUGCAUUGAUAGAAAGUAAUUUGUGCUGCAAACUGCGUUCGGAUUUGGUGGGAAGGCAGUCGGGCGUUGUCGGGGAGAACGCGGCAAAACUCUGCAGACGCGGCCAAGCCUUUGCGUGCUGCGCCCUAGUCCAGGUUCCUGUCUGAUAUCACGGCGUAUUGAUUGGGCCGGUCAGAUAGACAUAAUUGCGCCUGGCGUGCGCCGAGCGGGCAGUUGACGCGCGACUGCUUUUAUGCGCAGGCUCCAGUCUGCGGCGAUGGCGCUGUCCGAACAGCAGCUUGGCCAACACAUUGAUUCUGGCAGCGAGGAGGACCACAUCGCGGUCGUGGCGCAGGUCCAGACUGGCAAGAAGCGACGCAGUGUGAGCGCGGAAGAGGACCCAGACUAUGAGGACGCCGCGCAAGGCGCGCAAGGCAUAACGCAUGAUGGUAAGCAAUUCGGGGAGGGCCUGGACAGAUUCUUGGUGCUGGACCCUGCUCGCCAUUCAAAUGCUCGAGGGCAGCUCGAGUUUCCUUCCAGCUCUGACUCCCAAGGCGAUGCUUAGAAGCGGUUCAAAUCCUCUUUUUCUAUCUAAGGAAAUCGCGUUGGGAUCGUUUUAGGUCCUGUCAGGCGCAGCCCUGUCAGCUCCGACUGGGCACGCCACCGCCACCUGGCACGAACCACCCGGUUUCAUUUUACCCCCGCCCCACUCUGGCUGUCCGCUUGCCAACGCAUUCAGCCAUAUGCCAGUUUUGACCACUAACACGAUGCUCUCUUCUCUUUCUUUUGCAUUGUGGUGGCUACUCGUCUGUAGGUACAUCAAACAAGGCCGGCUACCGAGGCGUACGGCGCCGGCCAUGGGGCUCCUACGCCGCCGAGAUUCGGGACGCAGGCUGCGGCAAGCGCCGGUGAGCAUUUGCUCCUUGACAUGUAUGGAACAUGUCCUACUCGUUUCGCCAUGCGGUAUGCUUGUACGGGGAUUGUCCUGGCCUGUCUGGCCCUAAGCCACCUGCCUCCUGAGCCAGCGGCCUCGAAGCCUGUCGAGGAAUCUUGUGGGAACUUUGGCUACAGGUGGAUUGGCACGUUCAAGACUGCUGAGGAGGCUGCACGGGCGUACGAUGAGGCCGCCAUUGCGCUGCAUGGGCCUCGCGCCAAGGUGAGACGCGCUCGAAUGCACAGUUUCGCUUGUCUUGAUCUGGGUCGGAUGACUUGCACGUCGCCCUGAUAUUGCUUGCACCCACCGUAACUGUGCGAUUCAAGCCAAGUCCGCGCGUCAGUUAUGCCAGCUAUCCGAUCACAGCGUGCCCGCCUGCGAGCCCCCGCGUCAACCUUCAGGCCGCUGACGCAACCCCGCUGCGCCCCCUUUGCAGACCAACUUCACCUACCCCUGCCAGCAGCAGAGCGCCGCCGCCGCGCCAGCCGCCGCACACAAGGCCCACAAGCCGCACGCCGCCGCCGCGCCGCAGCACCACAAGCCGGCGCACCACAGCCAGCAACCUGCUCAGCCGCGCAAGCAGCCGCUGCACCCCCGGCAGCCGUACCAGCAGCACCAGCCCCCCCAGCUGCCGACGCAUCAGGAGGAGGAGCAGUACCGGCGCAAGUCGGACGACUCAGACACCUCUAUGACCGCUGCGCUGCCGCUGCCGCUGUCGCUGACGGGGCAGCUGGGCCUGCCGCCGCUGACGCUGCCGGGGCUUGAGGGUCUGGACCUGAUGGCGCUGCAGUCCAACCCCGCGCUGCUAGCCGCGCUGCUCGCCGCCACGCGGCAGCACCUCCCGGGGUUGGCCGGGCCGGAUGCGCAGCCCGCCUGCCUGCCGGAGCAGCAGCUGUCGGAGCGGGUCUGGGUCCAGGAGCAGCCGGUGCAGGGGUGCGAGGAGGAGGAGGACGGGUUGGAGGAGCCGGAGCCGCCGCAGGUGCUGCGGCCGGAGCAGCUUCGGUCGCUGCAGGUGCUGGCGGAGGUGGCGCACCUGUUCGGGCGCCGCGACUUCUGCAUGUCGUGACCUUCGCCGGCGUGCCAGGUUCGGCAGGGCGUUAGGUAGGCAGCCGUGCAGGCUCAGCCGGGGUGACGUGGGCGAAGAAGAUGGCAAAGUGAUCUGGGUCUAUGUGGUGGGGGCUUGGGCAGUCAUUCGCAGGCCCCCAAAUAGGUUGGGAAUGGGUUGCCAAGGUACUUUUCCCGUGGGGCAGCAGCUUGGUAGGCAGACCGCGGGUGGGUGCAGGCGGCGCGGCUCUGCAGUGCUGUGCCGGGCUCCCGGAGCACGCUCCAUUCUGCGCCAUGUGAGUCAUGUGCGUGGGACGCCAGCGUAGCAGUCUUACGGUGCGCCUCAGCUGUUUCCUGUGUUUGUCGACAGCCUGGCGUCGAUUGUACUUUUCGGCUGUGCCACGGCGAGGCGGUGACUGCGCACAGACGAAGAACAAGGGGCGAGGGAUGAGACGACGACAGGACUGAGUGUGUUGGGCAUGGACUUCGUGCGGGAUGAACUUAUCAGGGGCAGUAGCCCAUGUUGGUGGGCACAUGUUUGGUGCGGUACCAAUCAUGCAUAGAUGCAUAACAUGAGGCUACCACAGACACGACCGCAGGUGGACGGCUGCAUGUCCGAUUAUUUUGGUUUCGAAGCCGAAGCUGUGUGUGGUGCGUUUUGAGUGGAUGACAACGCACGCGAUAGCGUGCCGGUGAUUCUUGCCGCUACAUGGCGCAGGCGCUGUGCAAUCGGUACAUGGUGAGGCACGCUCCCGACUCAUGGGAGCUGAGAUGGGGACUGAUGGUGUUAAGGCCUUUAUACAUAUUCUACGGCAGCACAACGUCAUCAGGAUUAAGGCGAAUCCAAUGUGUGGCUGCAAGCGGCUCUUGACCACGCAAGCCACAGCCAACGAUUGACGCUUCAUAAGGAGUGUGUAUGGGUACCGCAUGUGGAUGAUAAUCCUACCGAGAGGGACUGUGGUGGUGUCUGACACCUUCGCAAGACGGGCGUAUGCGUGAGAAAGUGAGGGUGCAAUUAGUGAUGCCAGUGAGGUUACAGGUGGCACGCGCCAUAUUCGUUUCCGCCAACUUGAAAGACGUUGGGAGGCGAGGAGAGACAGGACAAAGCUUAGGCGACUAGAUAUACUGCCAACGGCAUUGCAUGGUCGGGCUCAAUUUCCCCUGCCACAAUAAUUCGUGUAUCUAGCACGCACGUGAGCAUGGCAUCGUCAAUGCAAUGUGCGGCUGAGGUUGCCUGCAGGCGGGUGAAUGGGCUGUGAUUACUUUUGUUUGGACUCCCCUGUACGCCCGCCGAGCUCAGGCCUAGCUCUUUCAUUUUUCUUUCUUUGGGGGUCCAUGCGUUGCUUGGGGCCUGAACGGUAUGGGCCCCGAAGUGGGCGUAGAGCCACUGGGGCGGGUAAAAGACCCCCGACAGCAACACGGUACAAUUCAUCCCUGUGCAAGGGGCAACACGGUGUAACACAGCUGCCCACCUCGACUGCUCUCAUGAACCCGACCCCCUGACCCCAACCACAGCACAGCUGCUCCCUGGUUCGAAUACAUGUCUGCGGCCAUUUCAUCUUCUCCUACUCUCCUAGUCUCGGGGUUAACCAAUGGCCUCGCCCCCCCCCCUCCCGGGCGCCGCGACCCACCGUCCAGUGACUUACGGUUAGACGCUUUAUGUCGGUGGCAGGUGUAUGGGUGCUUCGGGGCAAUCAGCCGAUGAAGCAGCCUCCCCUCGGUUGCGGACUUGAAAUCCGGACGGCGUGUGCCAUAUGCACCGCCGCCCUGCUGCAGAGUGGCUGCGCCGGGCGCCCGCCUGCGUCCUCCUCCUUCACCUCCCCCGCCGCGCACAGCAGCUGCAGUCCGAUUGCGCGGCUUGCAUCAUUGCAUGUUUGCUGAGGGUACCUGUAUGCGGCAUGCAGCAUGCCUGACUGGGCGCUCUAUGCAUGCGACAUUACAAGAAAGGACAGUCCGACCAAGCAUGGGUGCCCAGCACCCAGGUCAGGAGGGAACCAUCUCCGGCCCGAAGGGAAACCGCCCUCCCCCCAGCUGGCUGCCGACCUUCACCAAACCGUGCAUUGUUUCUGCGCAAAAAGCGUGUCUCAGCUGCUACACCGGCAUACGGUAAGUCGAAGUCGCCCUAUGCUGUCAAGGGACAAGAAAAGGUGGCUCUCCCUCGCAAGGGAAAAGUGGGCUGCGCCAAAGGGGGAAUGGUAGAAGCUCAGGAUCUUGCCCCAUGCAUUAGAUAAGAGAGCGUUAGGGGAGCAUCACGCACGUACUUAUGGUUCUUCGGGGGUGGUCUGGUGAGCAAGUUCUGGGCCGUCAAAGUUGGGAGGUCAGUCGUGAUCGGGUUUCAGGAGCCCAUCCUGGCGGAUUUUGAGAAGCGCCCCACAACCAGGGGAUCUAGGCAUUUCAAUAACCAGAGCUAGGGGCCGAUCGCAGCACCGUGUGGCUCAAUUAUGCAUGUUACGAUGUGCACAAACAAAGCGUGGGAGGUCCAUUUGCGCGUCCUGGCGUGGACAAGUCGGGACAUGUCCGCACAUGCGACGCCUGCACGCUGACAUGGCUGGGCUCUCAAGCUCCAGUGCACAUGAAUUUAUUUCAGCUGCCGGCGCACGCUAUCGAUACGUCACAUGACAAAGCGUGGAGCGGGGUGGGUCGUAGGGAUUUCCAUGAAUGCAUCUUCGAAUGCAGAGCAGGACUCGUCAAGGAAAGUCGAUUGGGACCACUUUGGAUGGGUUGAAGGGUUUAAGGGUUUAACCCCUACACGAUAAGUCUGUGUCCGUGAGCAUGAGCAUUUACAUGGCGUCGAAGUCCAUGUGGCCCCACUAACUCUUCUGAGUCCGGAGGCGCUUGAUAGCAAAAAGCAAAGUGUCUUCUAAAGCGUCUAUACGCUGUUUACGCGCCUGAGCACGUAAUGCCCGCUCCACCUUUCCAUCGGGGUCGGAGCCCCUUCUCACGAAGAUCCUCAAAAGCCUUCAGUUGCUCCUUGCGCAUCUCACACCCUACCCGGGUCAGAUACGGUGCGACAACGGCACCAGCCGCACGGACCUGCUGCGCCACCCGAAUGAGCGCGCUCCGCUCCUGCUGUGUCACCUCCACCACGACAUGCCACACCUCCCUACCCUUUGACCGCCACGCGCGCACGUAUCGUCCGGAGACGUUUGCGCCACUCGCACUGGCCACCGCCUCCAGAUUUCCAGCCGCCUUGAGUUUCUCGAGCAGCUCACGGCUAACCGACUUCAGCAGGACUUUACCCUCGUCGACCCCCCCGGAGCACCCUGCUCGGGCCAGGGCGCGCUGAGUGUCCUCUAGCGCGCAACGUUGCUCCUCCAUCUGGACUUGCAGCGCUGCGACCGUGCCUUGCAGCUCCUUCUGCCGCCGUUCAGCUGCAAGCGCAGCGCCCUGGGCCUCUGAGACAGAGGCGUGGAGCGCCAGCGCUUGUAGCUGCAGCUGCUGUAUGCUGUCGCCGUGCUGCGUGGCUGCUGAUGUUUGCUGCUCUAGCUGCCCAAGUGCCUCCUCCAAGGCCGCUAGGUACUCCUGGAUGGUCGCGAGCGCUGGUGUUGUGGCGAGAUCGAACAGGCGGGUCGUGUAAGACAGGCGCGUGAGACGCUGCAGCAGUUUCGUAGCGCGCUGAAAUGGGAAGGCCGCGCCAGAGUCCGGAGUGCCGAUGCUCAUCGCACUAGUGCUGGCAACCGGGCAGGAGUCCUGCUGGUCGCUGACACUACUGAAGCUCCCAAAGCUUUCCAAACGGCACCCAGGCCCACUGCUCGCCGUGCUCGGCGGCAGCUCGGGCUGGGGCGACGAUCGGGCUGAGGUUCCUGCGAAAGCGGCGGCCACCGCCCUGUCGGUAGCUUCACGCAUUUUUGCCUGAAAUGUUUCGUAGAAAUUGUGCUCGGCCAUGUUUUGUUAUCUCGUGUCGUGUUUGGUCAGGUGGCCACUUUGAGUCGUUGUGUUGUGUUGUGUUGUGUUGUGUUGUGUUGUGUUGUGUCCUGGGGGUGGUCCAGAUUGGUCGUACCCGAAUUCGGGUCUGGCACUAUCUUUCUUCAAUCCCCCCCCUGGCGCCCAAGCCAUGUUGGUGCAUGCCUCUUCAUCUCUUUCACAAGCAUAUAGUGACAUCUGCUUCCAUGCCGUGACAAUCUGGUCCGCUUCAGUCGAUGCACCCCGUCAGCGUCACCGCGGUCACUCCGGUACGCCAACACGUAGAAAUUCUGCCGCAGGUGUCGUGCAACACAGAAGCUGUCUGCACUACUGGGAUUCUGGGCGCGGUGGCAACUGCUGUGUUUCCCAGGGCUUUUUUGCUUCUUGGCCGCUGGCCCCUUCCCCAACGCAACUUAGCUGUGCACAGUACAAAAGCCGCCCACCCCCUGAUACGGAGCGACACGUGCCUCCCGAAACGCCAGUUACAGGGAAUGUUCCCGUAACGUAUAAUCCACUCGGUCCGCUUUUUCAGGCACGCAAGGAGUCGACACGCGGCUGUGCAGCCCGAAACAGCGCUUUUUGCACUCUUGCAAGCUCACAUGCGCCAUCUGCCUGUGCAUCGUUCAUUCUUUCUACAUCAUCUUCCGAAUCUGCUCUCCUGCAUGUCUCGUCUAUGACCUAACAGGCAUCCCGCGAGUCUCUGCAUUGGCGGCUACCACACGACAUACCCGCAUCAACACAACCAUCAACGGUUUGCAAGUAUUGCAACGUUUUAAAGCAAACAAUCAAGUCAUAGACGUCAAGAAGGUGUGCAUUCCAUCUGAAUGCAACACCUAGAAGUUCCAAGAGAGAGGGACGGGCAGUGACGCCCAUCGUAUUGUAUGUCCGCCCGCUCCUAGCCCGCUAACAAUGUACAUGGGAUCAUCUUGUAAUGAUCGACGGUCAAGCUGCUGCUUGUCCUGCCGCUUACGGCUGGGCAGCGGCGAACAGAGGGCAGCUGCAAAGCAGAAUGAAAAAUGGAGGGACAAGAUCAGAACCACAACCGAAGGCGUGUCGAGGGGGGGCACGGCGCAACCCAUAGCUAGCCAUUUCUACAUGCCAUGCCAACCCCAUAGCAGCACACAGUACUGCUUUUUAGACAUUAGGACAAGCAAACCUCAAGCAGUCACAUCCCAACUCACCAGUUCUUCGUGUCGUCAAACACGUUGCCCCAGCACACGCCAUCGUUGGCAGGCAGGCAGAAGUCCGACAGGGGGGUGUCGUUCUUCAGCUCCAGGCAGAUCUUGCCGCCAUUCGCCUGGUCCUUGCUCCAGUUCAGGGGGGUAGCCUUAACGGUCUGCUCGUCCACAGCGCCCCAGGUGGCGGACAGCCACUUGCCGGUGCCGGUCUUGGGCUGCACGUACACGCCGGUGAUGGCGCGGCGCUUCUUGUCGUCGGCGUAGAACUCGGCCUUGAGCAGGCUGGUGCUCCGGCCGCAGGGGCUGGUGGCGCUGUUGGGGGUCACCAGGGUGAUGCUGAAGCAGUAAGCAGUGGUGUCCUUGGUGCGGCCGGCCAUGCUCGACAUCGCGGGCGCAAUGGCGAAGGGGGUGGCGCCGGGAGUGGUGACGCACUGGCACUUGGGGAAGUCGGGGGUCUGCAGGGCGCAGGCGGCCGAGGCCUGGGCGUUGAUGCACGACUGGGGCAGGCCGGCGACGGCGUCGCCCAUGCCGCCAACAGAGACGACCACGGUGUAUCCGGCCAGGGCGGGGCGGCAGCCCUGAGUCACCAUGUCCAGCCAGAAGUUGAUCUGGGUGUCAACGAAGCUCUGCAGCUUGGCGCCCUCCUCGUUGGAGAAGAAGGUGGCGCACACCAUCACCAGGUUGCCGGCGCAGCUGGUGGACCCAGGGGUCACGGUCACGCCGAGGUCGGAGGCCUGGGUGGCCACGUCGUCCUGAAUGGUGGCGAUGUAGCCCUGGCACUCGUCGUUGCUGAUGGAGUAGGGGAACAGAACGCGGCUGGCGUCGCUAACGGUCAGCGAGAUGUAGACGCAAACCUGGCAAGGAGGAGGGGGGCUGGGGGGAGGAGGGCUCGGGAUGCCGGGCGUGGAGAUAGGGCAGCAGUCGUUCUGGCUGUCGAACAGCGCAGCCGAGCACACACCCUUGGGCAGGCCAGGGGGAGGAAUGCACAGCUCCUCAAGGGUGGUGCAGCCCUUGCCGUUCUUGUUCAUCGACAGGGUGAUGCAAAUCUCAGCACCGUCGCUGGCCAGGCCCAGGCCCAGCUGGGUCAGGACCAGGGUGGUCGAGCCAACGGGGCCAUCGGUGGGCUCGUGGAACGAGACACCGACCUUGGUGGGCACGCCGUUGAUGGUGGCCUUCACCACCUCGCCGAAGACGUCGCACGCCUCGUAGACGUUGAACUGUGUACAUCAAAAUGAGGAACAAACUCAGAGAACUUCUUGAAAAAAGAACUCACACUGUGGGUUGCUGGCUGCUGCGACUUUGAAACCGCGACCCGAUGCGCCGACAACCCACCUCGAUCUUCUUGAGGUCUGCCUUGGAGCAGCAGUAAUCGGUGCAGCCAGCCGGCACCUUGGCGCUCAGCUUGAAGCAGUACUGGUUGUUGCCCUUGGCAACGACAACAUCACCCAGCUUGUAGGCCGAGGGAGACUUCUUGCACUGGCAGUAAGGGAACGAGGUGUACAAGCCCGACUGAGCACCCUGGGCGGCCCUGCAGAUUCAGAACGAAGGGCACACGCGGCACGGAGUUACUGCCAGCGGAGCAAGCGGAGUCUCGGCGACGGGAUAGCCUGCUUGCAACUUGCUGUCAAAUCCGGUGGUGGCGCUACGAUCACUGUUACGCUAUGCUGAAAUCAUGAAAAUAGCCCGAGCAUGCUGUAAGAGCGCCGGUUGCAAGAAGGCCGACCGCAUUCAAGCUGCGCAGCGGACCCACACGACCACUAUUUACGCCGUGAGCGUAAAUGAUUAUCUUUGACUAGAGUCAGCGAUGCUCGUCUAUUCUACAACUCAGGAGCUUCCCGAAGCGACAAAUCUGUGAAACGCGCGGUCUUGCUACUCACGCAAUUGCGGCCGCGAAAAGAACGGAGACUAGAAUGCUGCACCUCAUUGUCACAGAGGUGGUUCAGCUAUAAAGAAAUUGUGAGGCACGCGGGCUUAUCAUGGGGGGCCCGGCUGGUCGAACGAGUCGUACGCCCGCCAUUAACCGCGGGCGCGUUAGUUUGGCGUGCGAUGCAAUCAUUCAUGCAACCGCGCCACUUCGACAGUGCCGGAAACAACUUUUAUUUUUGUGGGUAUGCAUCCGGCUAUUCGGUAGGACAGCAGCUGCGUUACGCUCAAACUCGGGCAAACAAUUGGGCUAGCGGCGUGAGCUUGCACCUCACAACUAUCAUCACACAAGUUAUUUAGAUACUGGCCUACCUUGGGCCAUCUCCAAAACUGCCUGUCCAGCCCGGGAGCGGCGGAGCUGUUUCGCCCGCGGUUUGGAGUGGCUUUACUCGUGCCGACGCAAGUCCUUGAUUUUUGCAUUAUAAAAAAAUUAUAGAGUACAGCUAUAGCAACCAACUUGGCAAUGGAGCUGCUGGCAUGGUCCAAACGCGGGAAGCUGGCGCCUUCUAGGCUCUUUGGAGCCCUGUCGGCUUCACAAGUGGCUGAUGCUCAAGUUGUGCAUCGCUUUGGCCGGACAAAUGUCUCCUAGUAACCCGGUUCACAAGCGAAGCGUGAAACGAAAGCAAAGGAUGCUGCGCGCCGGAAGCGAAACGUUCGAUGCACCUAAUUGGGCGCCAAGCGCGGAACCUUGCAGUCUCAGAUGCGUGUGUGCAUGGAAGGAGAAGGCUGGCGGAGGCGAGAGGAGCGGGGGCAGGGAUUGGCUUUCGUGGGGGGGGCGGGGCAAGUGGCGCGGGCGGGGCUGGGGGGGCGAAGAACGGUGAAGACCGGUGCGAUGGCACAGGGUAAGGGGCAGGUUGGCGUAGUCCCGAGUCCCGAGAAACAACUUACGCCCAACCCAGGCGCCAAUGAAACAGGUGAAGAGCUUGAGGACCCCCCUCCCGCUGUCCGGGCCUUACACACAAGCAGGCCAAGUGCGGGGGGAGCCGUAGCGCACACCAUAUACCGUACUGUCACUGUGCUCGAUUUCGUCGCUAGUGACGCCCCUGCUGGCUAGGGUAGCAAGGGUAAUGGGGGUGAACGAGCCGGUUGCUUAGGCUGUGCCAGCUUUCCCCGGGUUUCAUUGGGGUCACACACUUCACUGAUGCACAACUUUCAGAGCCAGGGGGCUGCAUCCUCCGGCAAGCAGACGCCAGGAGGGUGUCCCUGGCCGCAUGCGCUGGGUCCUGGAGUCUACGGUACGCGUUGCCGCACGCGUCGGUUGGCCAUCCAUUCCCCAUCCUUAGACACAAUGACUGUGUCAUGUGUGCACGUUGCGCUUUAGGCUCGGCCAGCGGCACCCUGGGUUGGGUGUGUGAUGGGUUGGGUCUCGGUUUGAGAGGUGUGACCCUUGCAGAAAGCAGGACUCUCCACACUCCCCUCCCGUGCUGUGCAUGUAUGUUCCUGCAUGCACGUGUGUGUAUGAAGUGAAUGGCUCAGCCAACGGCUGUGUGUGCAUGUGGCCCGCGUAAAAUGCAAUUUACCAGUGAUGGGCACUUCUAUCAGGGAGGGGUAGGAAACAAAGUGCCAGACCCCAUGCCCCGAAAUCCCCCGGGACCCCCCUUGAGGGGACGACCGACCCCCCGACGGACAAAACCUUGUUGUUCAGCGGUUAAAACCCCUCCAUUUAAUACCAAAGUAGUGUCAAUCGACUCCUCUUGACGAGCACUAUCACUCCGUGCCAUCAGCGGUCCUGUUCUGAGACUUCGGUCACGGGCGGGAUCCUAUCCAUGGAAAUCCCCUCGACCCAGACCACCCCGCGCUCAACUCUUUGCCGCGUGACGAAUGGACAAUGUGCAUCGGCAGCCUUGUUAGACGUGAACUCAUGCGCAUCAGCGCUUCAGAGCCCAGCUGUGUCAGUGCGCAUAUGUUGAAUGUGGAGACAUGUCCCGACAUGUCCACGUCCGGACGCGCAACUUAGCCCUCCCACGCUUUGUUUGUGCUUAUUACGUCAUAACGUACACAUAUGAGCCUCGCACUGCUGCGUUUGGCCCCUAGUUCUGCUUGUGGGGCGCUUCCCGAAAUCCGCCAGGAUGGGCUCCCGAAACCCGACGGACCCCCAGGGACGAGGACCGACCCCCAACUUUGGCGGCCCAGAACUUCCUCACCAGACCCCCCUUUAAAAAACUAAAAGUACGUGCAUAAUGCUCUCCUGAAGCUCUCUAAUAUUGAGCAUGGGGUAAGAACCUGAGCUUUCUAACCCCCCCCUGCCAUGGCGGCCACAAUGCCAAGAUGCUACCUGGCGGCGCCACGCACAGCAGAGCCCUGUGCUCCGCAAGGAUGCACACGUGCACACACGCACACACAUGUGCGAACACACGUGCACCUGCCCUCCAUGCCACUCGCCCCGCCCCUUCCCCCUUCCCUCACCUCAGUUAUGGCUGACUGGAUGCGGUUGAUCUCAAACAGCCGGCUGCGCCCCUCCUGGGAGCCGCCGCCGCCGCCGCCAGACAGGAGGUCUGGAGUGCGUGUGAGGAAGGGGAGGGGGGGGAUGUGCCCGAGCCCGAGGUCUCAAGCGUCAAGGAAUUGUUUCCAAACCAGGGGGAGGAAGCGGUAGGGGGGCGCGAAGUGUGAUGUUUGUCGGGGUAAGGUGUGAGGCAUUGGGCAUGGAGCGUAAGGCGGGCAUCAAGGCGGGUAGGGUGUCGGCCUGUGCGCUGUCACCCAAGCCACGGGCGCACCGUUAGCACGCACGCACGCGCACACGCUCACACUACGCACCUGCGGCCGCCUCCUGCCCCUUGCUGGUGGCGCCGCUCCCGCCGCCGCCCCCACCUGCACCCCCAGCAGCCGCCCCGCCCGGCACCGGAGCGCUCACCACCACCUGCGCCUCCGCCGCACCCUCCACCGCUGACUCUGCUCCUGCUCCCCCUCCUGCUGCGGAUGCUUCCGCUGGUAGCUGCACCACUGGCGUGUGCCGUGGAUGCGGUGGGUGCGGCGCCGCCAAGCCAGUCACCGCCGCCACCACCGGCGCCAGCGCCGCCGCCACGGCAGCCGCCGGCUCCCCUCCCGAAAUCCGCCAGACACCCCCUUAAAAAGUUAAAAGUACGUGCAUAAUGCUCUCCUAAAGCUCUGUAAUUUUGAGCAUGGGGUAAGAAACUGAGCUUUCUACCCCCCCCCUGCUUCUAUCAACCGGUUGUGCUUUCGGGGUUACAUGGAAGAGAUUAGGCUGGUGGGGCACAGUGGUGCACGGUGACAGAGACAGCCUUUCUUCCCUGUCUGGGUCAGGGGACAGGUUGUGCCGCCCUCGAGUCCGAAUCAAAUCGUUCUUUGCAGCAUCCCUCUUCAGGAUGCUGAGUGGAGUUGGUGUCGGUAGUAAAGGCCAAGCCCAACGCCCAUUGCGGCAGGGCCCAGGUGUGGGCGGAACGCCCGCCAAGAUGAGACACGAUGAGAGGCACGGCCGAUCGCGCCGAGUUAAGCCAUCACCACGCCCAGUGUUCCGGCCGGUUGUAACAGAUCAACUGUUACGAUCCCUGUUCGAGACAGGGCUGGGCCCUAACUUAUGCCUCUUACGAGUCUUCUAGUGAAUACGCGGUCACCCAAGUCUCAUCCGUUGGACAUCUCCAACCCCUUGCCAGGCUCUACAGUGAGUUAUGUCCGGGGUGGGCUAGGUACUGCUACCCCAGGGGAGAGCCUUCCCUGGCAGAGCCCAGGCCCUGCCGUAUUCCUUACCGGGUCGCACACCCACCGAAGUACCGAACCACGCGUCACGGUCUGGGAAUCAGCUGCACCCUACGGGACUUCACCAACCUGCCUUAACACUGUCCCAUACCACGCGUUACGUUUCUCCACGAUCCGCGGAACGGCGGAAACACGUAUUGACAUGUGUACACCCGCAAGGAGACCGCGGGUGGGUGAGAAUACUGCGCCUGCGCCUGAGAGCCCCGGGGCAAGCUGUCUCAUCCCCGAACGUAGAACUCAUAGAGUGCAGUCUGUGCAAAAGGGAAAGCGAGAUGCAAAGGACGAAGCAGGAGUCGUGUGACGCGUUAGCGUGGAUAAACGCCUGGCGGAUGAGAUCGGACAUGGCAACUUGGAAAUGGGCAGGUUGGUGUUAGUCCUGUGGACCUGAUAUACCCGAGCCGGUUGAGGGCCUCAUGUGCAAAACCGCCAGCGCCGGUCUGCUGGCCUUAUCUGGGUACACGCAGUACCGGUGCGGUAGCUGACGAUGCCAGCGUUAUUGACGAGUGUUGCGGAACUAAUGCGUACGUAGACCAGAGCGGAAGGCGGAGUGGGCUUGCAGGCGGCACGAGAGUAGGCAGUCAGUAGCGCAAGUUGCGAAUUCACAUGUUACCUCGUAACCGACGGUAAACGCUGCGGACGGUCGCGCCCAUGGCUGGCUGACGGAAGGUGGCUGCUGUAUUGGGAUGGCUGGGCUGGACGACGCCGGCCGGGCUGGCGUGCACGAUGUGCACAAACCGUUCCGCCUGCAGAUUGCAGAAAGCCCUGACGCCAGCUGCGCAUCCUGACGGAUGACACGUUGGGGGCUGUCACUCAGCUGCUGACUCGGGACCACCGUGCUGUCCCCUGCCGCAGUUACCGCCGCAGCCUGGCUGGCAUUCAACUUAUGUUGAAAAUUAUAUCAAUAUGACGCGUUCGUACUGUGCCCCCAAACCGGUUUACAGGGGCAACAGGCAAUAGCCCUGCGCACAAACUCCUGCUUCUCACCAGAGCUUUCGCCGUUAUGCACGGCCACGGGAACAAUGGUCCCGGCCAACCACAUCUAUGAACCGUGUCCGUUAGCCUCUCCUGAGGCUUGUAACCGGAACGCGGCUCCGCUGAUUGCAGUCCCAGGAUGACGCUAACCUAAGCAAACAGUCAAUGCGCAUGAUCAUUUACACACACGAGUGCUCUUAUGUACUGCCCAUAUUAAACACAGUCGAGUUGUGGAUCAGUUGCACGAUUCACCGCGCCAGCCCUCGCGGCGGUGCUUCACGCAAUCCGCAUUCAGCUGGUGGCGAGUCGCCAAGCCGCCCCCAACAAAACCCGCACCGCACCAAGUGCCAUGCCGUUUAGACACACGCGCACAACACUAAUCCUGCGAGGCAGUGAUCUCAUCUGUCACUUUGUCAACUACCCAAUCAAGCCAUUUUUCCGAACCCAAUUCAAAACACGCGCCCACGGGCGAAGCUGUGCGCCGUGGCUGUAGCGGCUGCUGCCUCUGCUGCCAACGCCUCACAAAAUCCACCCGUGGCCGUCUGCCACAUAAGCUCCAGCGGUCACCAGCUAUGCUCCGUGCCAGCUCGCGAUAUUGCCAGGCCGUGUGGCCGCAGCAGCUGUUUGCACAGCUGCCGCGAAGCAAGUCCGCUGCCACAAGAACUCAAACAGGGUGGGUCAGCCGCGCGGCUUCCAAGCGGCUUCCACCUUGUGUGUAUGGACACGCGACGCCUCGGCUGCUGCGGGCUGUGCCAUUUACGGCAGGCUCGCCUGGUACAGCGGGCAGCUGCGGGCAAGACACGGGAGGGGUGAGGAAUGGCGGUCAGAUACGUGACAACGUCGAGGCAGAUGUCCGCGGGGAAGUCCGUGGGCGAAGCCUAUUGAUUUAGAUCCCGCAAGACAACCCACAUUGGCAAGUACGUUGUUGCGAGCGUGUCAAUGCAAACCCAACUCACCAGUUCUUGCUGUCGUCGAACAAGUUGCCGUAGCACGAGCCGCCGGGCGCGGGCAGGCAGAAGUCCGACAGGGGGGUGUCGUUCUUCAGCUCCAGGCAGAUAGUACCGCCAUUCGCCUGGUCCUUGCUCCAGUUCAGGGGGGUAGCCUUGACGGUCUGCUCGUCCACAGCGCCCCAGGUGGCGGACAGCCACUUGCCGGUGCCGGUCUUGGGCUGCACGUACACGCCGGUGAUGGCGCGGCGCUUCUUGUCGUCGGCGUAGAACUCGGCCUUGAGCAGGCUGGUGCUCCGGCCGCAGGGGCUGGUGGCGCUGUUGGGGGUCACAAGGGUGAUGCUGAAGCAGUAAGAGGUGGUGUCCUUGGUGCGGCCGGCCAUAGUGGAAAUGACGGGCGUGAAGGCGAAGGGGGUGGCGCCGGGCGUGGUGACGCAAGCGCACUUGGGGAAGUCCACAGGCUCGGGGGCGCAGGCCUGGGACUGGAAGCCGCUCAGGCAAGACGCAUCCGGGGCCUGUGCGGAGCCGCCGAUGCCGCCGACGGCGGCGUAAGCGCUGUAGCCAGUCAGGAAGGCGGGGCAGCCCUGGACGCCGGUGAUCAGCUGCAGCCAGAAGGGCAGGCGCUCAUCGAUGAAGGGCUGCAGCUCGGCGCCCUGCUCCGAUGAGAAGAAGGUGGCGC
RNAcentral lists this long non-coding RNA (49953 nucleotides) under Chlamydomonas reinhardtii. RNAcentral's name for it is "long non-coding RNA (CREI_LNC001144)". Lineage: Eukaryota; Viridiplantae; Chlorophyta; Chlorophyceae; Chlamydomonadales; Chlamydomonadaceae. The record is from RNAcentral.